UUCGGUCAAUAACUCAAUCUGCAUUAUUCUCCAUCUUUCUAUAUAUAUGUACGUCUUUUUUAAUACACACAAUGUCCACAAACUCUUUUUCUCAAUACGAUCUUUUCAUUCUCCUCUAAGCUAUACUCUAUUUUUCAUUUUCAUUCUGUCUUCUCAAUUCCAACGCUUUUAUUUUCUCGUACAAACUCUUUUAUUUUCCCGUUGACACCAAAUUCUCAUACAAACUCUUUUAUUUUCUCGUACUCCUCAUAACCAAAUUCUCUCAUCUCGUUUAUUUUCUUAUGGCUUCUUCUUCCCAAACUCCCUUUGAUGAAACUUAUGAUCAGAUUUAUGAUCAGUUUUACGAACAAACAUUCCAGAAUCUCUUAAUUGAUUAUGCUGAUCAAGCAGAAGCAACCUCAUCCAAGAAGAAAAGAGCUUUCAUAGAAAGAAACCGAGAAGAAGGCCACACAAGAUUGUGGAAUGAUUACUUCAGCGAAAACGCAAUUUACCCCGAUCACCUUUUCUGGCGACGUUUUAGGAUGAACAAGGCAUUGUUUUUGCGUAUUGUUCAUCGGCUCUUGAUAACACCGUAUUUUGACCACUUUUAUGGAUCGUUUUGAAAUACUUUUUCUAUGUUUUUAAUUGCUUUUAAGUACUUUUAUUACGUUUUUCUAGUAUUUGUAGUUCCAAGACUCUUUUCAGGAAACUUAGGGAAAAGCUUAACAAAAUGGAUAGAAAACCAGAUUUCAGCUCAGAGUCAAACCGUCAGAAGUUCACCCCUGAUUGAAAGCCUUCUCACCGUCUGAUCCAGCUCAAAUUUGGAGACCUUAAAGAUGGAAGUAUCAGCUUUCCAGUGCACUUUACAGCUUGGCAAUCCAACGGUUUAAUCAAACGAUACGCGAAGAGCAAGAUGUCCCGUAAACCAGCCGGCAAGCACUUCCACCCGCGGCCAAACACUCAUUCCCCCCGGUCAGAAGCAUCCCGACCGUGGCCAAACACUUGUUCCCCGCGGUCACACUUGUCCCGACCGCGGCCAUCAACCUCCGAGCCCAAAAAGCCCAUUUCUGAAGCCCACAUUUGGAGAAACCCUAAGUGACGUCCAAAGAGGUCUUGAGCACUAUAAAUACAUGUCUUAGGAACCCUAAACAAAGGGAGAUUGUGUAACCUAAUACCAUCUAUCAUUACUUCAUAUUUUUAUUGUUUUUGCUUUAGCUUUUAGGGAGAGAGAGAUUUGUUCUCUUGAACCCUUGUUCUUUAUUUUUCAAUUUCAGUUUCUAUUAUACUUAUUAAUACUAUGUUUUUGAUUUCGUUCAUUAUGUCUGAGUAGUUUUAUUGUUGGGAUUAAGGGAUUUUCGAUGGGGAUUUAUAUGUUCGAUGAGGAUUCCAUGAGCUUUUGAGCCGAAUCUUUGAACUUUUUCUUCUGAAUUCGUUUUUACUGCAUGAGAGUAGCGUCAUGAACUACAAUCUGAUCCAGAUGCUUGAUGACACGAAAGUGUUCAUCAGGUAUCAGAUCUAGUUUGGGAGAGCAAAACAAACAUAGGAGUGGAAACCUACAUAUGGGUGAUUUGUGAAUUAGGACGAGUCUUAAACAUAAUGCAUCUCUUCUCUUCUAGGGCCAGAGUGGAAACCUACUGGUCAAGGUUGAGAGAGAUAGUUGUCUAUGAUCACGACAGUGGCGUAUUCAUACGUCCGUGACUCCAGUUCGAAAAGUUUAAGCUAAGAUCUUAUCAAAUUUACUCUCUAGCAAUGUUUUGAAUCGUUCGUACCCCUGAGAAAACUUCUCUGAACCCCAACGCCUUCUUUCUCAUUGAUUUACACCGAUUUUUCUUUCAAGCUUUGGUUCAAUAUUGUCUUUCCUUUUUAGUUCAUUUUCAUUUAAGCAAUUAGAUAUCCGUUUUUUACAUUUUUAGUCAUUUUUAUUAAGUUUAGUUAUUACGUCAUUUAAUUCCCGUAUUCUCUUUUAAGAUUUCGUUUUUGCAUUUCAAACACACUACCAAACUCCCACAAAACCGUUUUGGUUCUAGACUUCCUUACUUUAUACUUAUUUCAAAGGCUUUUUGCAGAAAAAGAUCCUCUUUCCCUGUGGAUUCGAUCCCUAAGUACUACAAUCGAUCAUCUGUGCACUUGCGGCUAUUGAUUUCAAUUAGGGUAAAACUUGACAACCCUCGACACACACACGACAGCACACAUCAGCCCUCCAACGAGGUCACUUUCUUUAAACAGAGGCAAGAUGCUCGGGGUAGACUUGGUCUAUUGGCACUUCAGAAGUGUACAGCCGCAAUUCGUCUAUUGGCUUAUGGCACGACACUUGAUACCGUUGACGAAUACCUACGCCUUGGUGCAAGUACAGCCCGUUCAUGUCUGGAAAAUUUUGUUGACGGAAUUAUAAAUCUCUUUGGCGACGAGUACCUCAGAAGACCCACAGCAGACGAUCUUCAACGUCUACUUUAUAUGGGAGAGGAGCGCGGAUUUCCCGGGAUGAUAGGAAGCAUUGACUGUAUGCAUUGGGAGUGGAAGAAUUGUCCAACCGCUUGGAAAGGCCAGUAUACACGAAGUUUUGGGAAACCCACAAUAGUCUUAGAAGCGGUAGCUUCAUACGGUCUCUGGAUUUGGCAUGCCUUUUUCGGACCGCCAGGUACCCUCAAUGAUAUAAAUGUUUUGGAUCGGUCACCCGUUUUUGAUGACAUUAUAAAAGGUCAAGCGCCGAGAGUUAAUUUCUUUGUCAAUGGAACGGAGUACCAUUUGGCGUACUAUCUGAUAGAUGGUAUAUAUCCAAAAUGGGCAGCUUUUGUCCAAUCUAUACCUAAACCACAAGGUCCAAAAGCAUGUUUAUUUGCUGAACGCCAAGAAUCUGCCCGUAAAGAUGUCGAGAGGGCUUUUGGAGUUUUGCAAGCUCGUUUCGCCAUUGUCAAAAAUCCGGCUUUGUUUUGGGACAAAGAAAAAAUCGGAAAGAUUAUGAGAGCUUUUAUCAUACUCCACAAUAUGAUAGUUGAAGACGAACGAGAAGGAUACCGACACUUUAAUGUUCAAGAAUUCCAACAAGGAGAAGGAGGCGGAAGUUCUAAUGUGGAUUACUCGUACUCGACAAACAUGGCAACAAAUAUUAUAAAUAUGAUGGAUACCCGAAGAAAAAUUCGAUCACCAGAUGUGCAUCACAAAUUAAAAGCCGAUUUAGUUGAACAUAUCUGGCAAAAAUUUGGUUAAGCUCAAAAAUAAAACACAAGUUUAAUGUAUAAUAAUUUAUGUUCUAUUUGUUGUAAUGUUUUAGUAUUCAGUUUAAUGUUUUAGUAUUUCUUCUAAUGUUGUAAUGUAAAAUAAAAACUGAAGUUUAAUGCAAAAUUUAUGUUUUUAUGUCAAAUUGAAGUUUAAUAAGAAAUUUAAUGUAAAAUUUAUGUAAAACUGAAGUUUAAUGUAAAAUAAAAACUGAAUUUUUUUUUAAAAGUUUUUUUAAAGACCAUUAAGAUUUCUCCCAUUGAAUCAUACAAAAAUACAAGGUUUCUCUCUUGGGUUUCUACUACUAAAGCUAUCCAUUUUAUUAAUAAAAAAAGGGAUAGAGACUCUAAAUGGUUUUUCCAAUUGUACAUGUUCUUAUAGGUCGUUCAAUUUGUUAACUCAAUUUGUAACACAUAAUUAUUUUUAUUUUGAUGAAUAUUUACAAUUUAGAAAAAGUUCAAUAUUUACAUCAUAAAAGUAUCUAAACACAGAUCGAGUUGCGUAGAGCCGCUUUGAAUUACAAUUCCUCAUAAACUUUCACGAUAAUUGAUACAAUAUAUGAAAAUGAACUUUGAACUUCAAACCCCCUUUAGUUUCUAGGAAAUUUCCUUCGUACAUUUGUGAAAUACAAUCCUCAUCAUUUAUCUCUGCCAAAAAAAAAAAAAAUUCAAAAAGUGAACUUUAAAUUUCAAAUCCUUUCUAUUUCCUUGGAAUUUUCCUUCAUAUACAUCAUCAUAUAUUCAUUCAACUCACCCGAAAUUCUAGGUAGAGUAAGAAAAAAUUGGCCCAUCUGAAAUCAAUAUACAAUCAAUAAUGGAAGACUUAAAGUAGACCAAAGACUUUUCGUUUUUUUUUCCUCAAGUCUUUGAAUCAAACAAUAGAUACUACAUAUAUAUAAAUACUCUCUGCUGAUCCCUUGCUUCAUUAUCUCAUAAACCAGCAAGAACACUAAAUAAAGAAAAUGGUGCUAAAGCUUGUCAUAAUGGUGAUAGUGUUUGCACAAAUCUUAGCUCCAAUCGUUGAAGCUGCUCAAGGAAGAGCUGUCUAUUACAACCCUCCCUAUACUAGUGCGUAUAUAUACAAUUAUAUAUAUACAUAUGUAUCUAUGUUUAAUAUGUUAUAUAAGUCAUUGCUUACAAAGAAAUAAUGUAAUCCAGGGUCUGCUUGUUCUGGAAGACAAUAUGAAACGAUGGUGGUUGGACUCAAGAGCAAUCUGUAUCAAGGAGGUCGAGCUUGUGGUCGGAGGUACAGGGUUCGAUGCAUUGGUGCUACUUACAACUUUCCCGGAGCGUGUACCGGACGUACCGUAGUCGUCAAGGUAGUUGAUUUCUGCCGGGAGCCUUGCAAUGGCGACCUUAAUCUCUCUCGUGACGCUUUUCAGGUCAUCGCUAAUACCAAUGCCGGUAACAUCCGCGUCGAAUACACUCCGUAAGUUACAUUCUUAUAUCUAUUCAUCUUCGUAUCUAGGAGUCUUUGUCCUAAAAUAUAAUAGUGAAUUUCAUUAAAAUAUAUAGAUCGACUGAUUUUCCAAACAAUAUAUAAAAUCACUAGGCAAGAUCUGAAUUUUUUUUUACAUCCUAAUGAAAAUUUGAUAUUCUUAAUUGAAAAUAUAUAGGCUAUUUUCUGAUCUGCUGCAGGAUAUGAAGUUUUUAUUUUUUUUUGCUUGAACUUUGCAGGAUAUGAAGUUGAUUGAUUUCGUGAAGAGAUGAUUUCGUGGUACUAUUCCAAUAAAUCGAAUGGAACUAAUAAGCUUGCUAAACUAUAUGUAUGGAUGGUCCUUUGUGCUGAAAAAAAUUGUACUUCAAAUAAGAAUUCCAAUGUUUCCUAAUUAAACUUUUACGUUUAUAAGAUUUCUCAUAUUAAGGAUUUAUAAAAUAUUAAGUGAAUGUUAAGAACUAAUAAGCUUGCUAAACUAUAUGUAAGGAUUUAUAAAAUAUAAAAUAUUAAGUGAAGUGAACACUGAAAGACCAAGAAGUAGGACACUUUACGGAGUCAAACCAACCAUGCUCGACACAAUCUAAAGUAGAUUUUUAAAAGUAAACCUCUGGUUUUCGACUUUGACUACAGUGUACACAUUGGUGUUUAAUUGAGUUUUCUCACAGUGCCCCCAUAUGCAUAGAAAAAGCCUGACAUUUAUUUUAUCGGUUUCAUUUUAAAUGUUCAUAUAUAAAUUCUAAACAUCAAACAAAAAUUUAAAUGUUUAGUAUAUUUUUUUAUCAAUUUGAUUUCAUUUUCAAAUAUAAAUCUACAAUCUUAUUGAUCUCUCUAAUAAUUUGAUUUAAGUUAAUGAAGAUAAAAUAAUAUUUUUUUUGAAUUCUGCAUAAAGGAAACCAUAAAAUGACACUGGUUUUGAACAAGACAGAGCUUUUUUUAUAUAAAAAAAUAAGAUAGUGUAUGUGGCUAGAUGUUGGGAUCUUAGCUUUUUAAGGUUCUUUUUUUUCGAAUUUUAGUAAAAGGCAAAAUAAUUUUGAUAGAUGGUUAACCAAUUACAGAUAAUUACCUUACCAAAUUCAGAUGAAUAAUUAAUAAAUAUAUAAAAACUGAAUCAGAAGUUCAAACCGUGUAUGACUAAAAAAAAAUCUUAAACCUAUAUCUAUGUCGAAGUUCAUAGGUUAAAAUUAAACAAAUGUGUAUCCAUUUUUUUUUUUGGUUUAAGUAUGAGUGGGCUUGUUAAAAAAAUGAAUGAAUGGGCUUUCUUGCCAUCCUCUCCUAGAAUCAAGCUAACAAAAAUCUCUUUUUUUUGUUAGAAAACAAAAAUUUAUUUUUAAACUUUUCAGUUAACUAAUUUAUAGUAAUGGUCCUUCAGUUCAUGAGUUUGAAUUUGAAGUUUGAACUAAUGUCUGAAGUUGACCUACCAACAUAAAUUUUACGAUGCCUACCAAAUUCCAUCUUGGCUGAUUCGCCUCUAUAUAUUUUUUAAUAUGUGAAGUUAAUGAUGGACUAGUAUUAAUUACUAGUAGAAAGUACUCUAUAGGUUACCAAUAAAUGAUGGAACCCGAGCAAGUAAAAUACUUAUAGUACUCCGUCUUAAUUAAAAGUAUACUAAUACGAAGUUUGAAAUUUACUCAUUUGAUCAGAAAAUCUUUAAAAUCCCACUUAGUAUGUUCUAUCAUAUUGUUAGAAUGAUCGAUAAUUUCUACUUUUUAGCUUAAAAAAUGAGAUAAUUUCUACUUGCAUAAUUAUGGAAAAAAGAUUAUUUGAAGAGAAAAAGAAACUCUAUUCUUUUUGACAAAUUGUUGGAUUUUGGUUCUACUUACGUUCAGCAAUUAUCCUCGGUUUGAAAUUGUGUACCAUGGUAAAUUAACACGCAAAACUAGAAAACAAAAUGAUUAAAAUAAAAUAUUGGAAGGAUGUACGUAUCUUUAAGCCUUUUAUGUAUAUUGUUCUACUAAUUAAGCAUAUACUAAUAGAUUAAAAAUGCACAAGACCAAAUUUUCCUCGAGUCAUAACCGAACCUUCUUGCAUGUCGACUUCCUGUUUCCUCUCUCUCUCUCUCUCGUGUCCCUUAGAAUGUUUGUUAACUGCCUAAAAUUAUGAAACGUAAUUCAUUUAAUUUCGUUCUAUAGAUAACAAUAGCUCUUUUCAAGAGAAACAAAAAAGUCUAUUAGUUUCUUGGAUGAAGGUUUUUGUUUGUCUUAUAUAUAUUUAUAAAUUUUAAUUUGAUUAUCUUAUUACAUAUGACUAGCGAAUAUAUCUCAUUGCAGUAUUUGGAAACAAGACAAUAGCUUUUCCACGGACAAAUCUACAACAUACAUCUUUAUUUAUAUACCACAAGGAAAGGAUCCAUCAUAGAUAGUUCUACUUAUUUAUACAUGUACCACACUAACGAUAGACAUAUAUAUUUUUAACAUGCACGACCAUGAAGAACUGUCCUAUUUGUACCACGCUCAAAAUCUCAAGUAAGAUUUUCUUUAAUAAUCUGCAUAACUUCAAAUUUUAUAAGAAUCCCCAUACUUGAUGUAGAAGUACAUUAACAAACUUGCAUGUGAUUUUUAUUUUUCUUUUUUUAAAUCUUCCAAUCAAACAAAGAUAUGUCAAAUAAAUGCGUGGUCCGAAUCAAAUCUUUUUUUGCUUUCCUCGACAUUGCUUUUCCAUUUUCUAGGCUCCACCUAAGUUUGCAGAGAUAACACUUACAAAGACCAGAGCCGCCGUGCGUGUUAUCCCUUAACACCUGAGGCCUUUUGAAUCUUGAAGUGUUGAGUAACCCUCGAUAUUUUACACUCUAAAAUCUCACGUUUUACCAGAUUUGACAACGGAUCUCCCGCAAAAAUUGAAGUCAGAACUAUCACUCAUUCCGUAGUAUGGAUCUUUGACUCUUUCUGCAGUCGCUUGGUCUUAUGUGAUUAUGUCUAAUUUGAUAGAAUCUUGAAGACAUCAUCCCCGUCGUCCCAUACGUGCUUUUACCAGUUAUUCAUGCCUCAUGAAUAGUUUCAACCAGUUUUUUUUUGGUUAAAAGUUUCAACCAGUUUAAAGUAUAUAGAGGCGAUUGCUUAAUUAAUGACGACACAACGUCAUAGUUUUUCACUUAAUGUCACGAUGAGUAUUGACUACUAUAAAAGAGGUAAUGGUUUGGUGGAAAGAUAUCAAAAAUAUCCAGCACAGAAUUUUAAGGCAAUGUUAUUUUGAAUUCAAACUAGGAAAUUUAAUAUAAUACAAGUUAAAAUGUCAGAAAAAUGUUUUUUUUUUUUUUCUUUCAUAUGGAUUGUAAAGUUUUUGUAUUGUUUGUCACUUUGUCCGGUUGGAUUUAACAUGGAUGGCUGGAGUUUUUGGUUAUAAAAUCAUAAGAUAUUAUUAUUCAUGAUGCAUGAAGGAAAAUGAUUUUAUCAGUCUCUUUAUUUAAAGAAAUGUUUCGUUGACUUUCCAUUUCUCUACGUAAUUUAAUAAUAUGAUCCAAAUCCCAUUAAUUUCUGGAAUUUUUAAAAAUGUUUAAAGACACUCUUCUUGCCUCCUUGGUGUAAGAAAAAAUAAAUAUAAAAUGAACGAAAAAAAAAUUUCAUCUGUCACCAUCAAUGGUCCAACCUGUAAUUCUCUUAAUCAUCACUCUGUCUCAUAAAUUUCAAAAAAAACUCUGAGCUCAAACUUUCUUUCUCUUCUUUCAAUUUUCAAGAGAAACCAAAAUCUCUGUUUUUUGUGUUUUUUUUUUCUCCCCCGAGAAAAUUUUCUGGUCGCUUGCAAUAUCUGAAACCCACCAGAAAAGCUUAAGUUUUGAUAAGUUCUUCCACCUUCUUUCAACCUAUCUCUAUCCCACCCAUGAAAUUUUCUCGGGAAAACAUGAACUUGAUUUUCCCGGAAAUCAAAUCAACCCAGAAUUUCAUCUCCCCUUCACCACCACCACCACUCCGAUCAAACUCAAGCUUCGAUUUUAGCAGCAAAAUCAGCCCAAACAUCCUCAUGAUAAUCAUAAUCCUCUCGAUCAUCUUCUUCAUCUCCGGUCUCAUCCACAUCCUCGUCAAAUUCCUCCUCACACCAUCGUCUCAAAACAGAGAUGAUUACUUCGACAACAACGUCACAGCUUUUCAAGGCCAGCUUCAACAGCUUUUCCACCUCCACGAUUCCGGCGUCGACCAAUCAUUAAUCGACACGUUACCCGUUUUCCACUACAGAUCCAUCGUCGGCUUCAAAAUCUCACCUUUCGAUUGUCCCAUUUGUCUCUGCGAGUUCGAAACAGAGGACAAGCUUAGACUCUUGCCUAAAUGCAGCCACGCCUUUCACGUUAAUUGUAUCGACACCUGGCUCCUCUCUCACUCGACUUGUCCCCUUUGUAGAUCCAAUCUCCUCCUCUCUGAUUUCUCAUCUCACCACAGUCUAAGCUCCUCGUAUCUCCUUGUUCGUGAAUCAGCGAGUGAGCAAAGCUCGAGAGAUAUGAUAGUUCAUAUUCCUGAAGCUAAUGAUCUCGGGUCGACCCGUUUUGGGUCGGGUCGUAAAUUAUGUGACCCGGAUGGUGAAUUGGAUGGUUUAGAUGAAAAGUUUGUUCCUUUACAAGUUAAGCUAGGGAAGUUUAGGAACAUUGAUCAUGUUGGUGAAGGAAGUGAGAACAAGAAUUGCAUUGUUGGUAAUAGUAGCAAUGUAGAUGAAAGGAGGUGCUUCUCAAUGGGAUCAUAUGAGUAUAUUAUGGACCAAGAAGCUACACUUAAGGUUCACGUUUCGACCAAGAAACUAUCCGACAAAGACCGUCGCUUUCCCGGGCAUAGGGUAGUUAUGUCCGAAUGCGGUUUUGAUCCAACGGUUAAGGAAAUUGGGAAGAGUGUUGUGGAAACAGAGAGCUUUUCUUUGUCGAAAAUUUGGCUUAGGGGUAAAAAGGAGAAGCAAAAGGGUACUACUAGUGCUAGAGAUCAUGACUGUUCUUCUGCGUCUUCCUCUUCAAUCCGAUUUCCGAAGAAUGGGAUCUGUACCGAUGAAGAGAAUCAAAAGAGCGAAAAUUCGGAAUCUUUGGAUACGAAAACGCCAUCUUUUGCUAGGAGGACCAUGAUUUGGCUUGCAGGGAGACAAAACAUGGUUGUUCAUCCUUCUUCUACAUCACGCGUCUAGUUUUUAAUUUGUUUCUCUUGUUAACUUUUUAUUCUUUCUUGACAACUGUGUUUGAAGAUUUUAGAGUAUUAUUAAGUGUUGACAUUAGAGAGAAAGUAGAUGAAAAGUGGGAGCUAAUCUCUAGGGUUCUUAACUUAUUAGUCACAUUGAAAAUUUGGUGGGUCUGCAAACAGUGGACGCAUUGUUGUAAUUCUUGAUGUAUGACCAACAAUUAUUAGUCAACCUUGUUUCUUAAAAGAUGACCCUUUCUACGUAAAUAAGUAAUUGGAGACAGGAAUGUGAAAAAAGCUACAUAUCUAUUAUGGAGUAUAAAGACUAAGCGCUCAUACUUUUCACAUCUCAGCUUCCACAUCAGCAAAAACAAGCUAAUUAAGCAUUAAGCAAGCCACAUUUCUUAAGCUACAAAUUUAAGUCAUGACAAAACGUUCCAUAUUCUAAUCUUUGAUUUUGACUGUAUAAUACAUAAUUAUUAAAGUUUUGACAGUCAUGGCUCAGUGAUGUCUAUAUAUUAAUCAAACAUCGCAUGUUCAUUAUUGCUCAGUGUUUUUUUAUUGUUCUCAUAUUUGAUCAUUGCUUUUUAGCGGAUGGAUUAUAUAUACACGAGACAAAAUAUCUCAUUAUAAGUCUUUUUGUAUUCUUACUAACAAUGCUUAUAUAGCUAACAAUUUCAAAGAGGUAUGUAACCAAAAACUAGCUAUAGCUUUGUAAAUUGGUUGUAUAUGAUAAUGUGUCUUAGUAUUCUUCCAUGCAAAUGUUUGGAGCUAAUUUUCAAUAACUAUGAAAAGUUGCACAAGUUGCAGAGAUGGACAAGUUGGUACUUCCGUACUUGGUAAUAUGAUUCGAAAUGAAAAAAAAAAAAAACUGUGUUUUGCGAGGUUAGACUGCAACAAUGUUCCUGGUGAUAAUGCAUUGGGGGGUCUGAGAAUGAAGUGGUUCACACAUCUGAAACCGUAGCUGAUGUUGUGAGCUGUCAACCUCCUGACAUGGUGAUGGAGCUGGCUGGGGUUAAGUAAAAAUGAAAAAUGUUGUGUUUUUUUGUGUGAUGAUAGGACUUAAAAAAGAAGUGAAUUUUCUGAUCAAAGAGGAAAACAGAAUAUGUAGAGAGGAGAAGCUGAUUUUGGAACAGUAAUUCAAGAUGGUCGCCUUCUUCACAUCAUAGCUAUAUAUAAAAAAAAGUAAUUCUGAUGAGAGAAGGAGCAACGGUUGAAGAUUAUAAGUACUUUACCAAAAGGGUUCGAUAGGGUUUAAAGAGAGUGGAAAGAUGUUAAAGGUUCACGAGAAAGAACUUAAGAGAAUCCUUUGGCCAGAAUUGCUUAUAAUGGAUAUAUAUUCAUGCUAGAUACCUCUUUAUCAAUAAUCCUAAAUGACCAACCAAUAUGAGAAAAUCAAAGUAAAUAAACAAGAUGAAAAUAAAACCAAAAAUCAGUUCAAUUAGAAUAGGUUAAUUUUCUACAUCUUAUAAUAAUAUAUUAAUAUGGUUCAAUUACACUAUGUUAAAAUAUGUAUUAUAUAUAUAUAUAUAUAGAAAAUCACAUAUAUUAAAAAAAACCCGCGUGUCAACGUGGGUAUUCAGCUAGUUUUGAUAAUUACUUAAGCUAAAGUAGGUUCUUUUUUUAGUUUAUCACUAACGAGAAAUCGUUGAAACUGAUAUAUAUAUAUAUAUGUAUAUAAUAUGUUAAAGAUAAAUAACCAUAUUAGCAUGAUUCUAAAUUGUUUAUACUUCAAAUUUCUUGAUAUUUGAAAAUAUAUUAAGUAAUAUCUAAGCGAACAUAAAUAAAAUAUAAACAUAAAUAAAAUAUAAGGAAAACAAAAAUAAAAUUAAGAAAAAUAUAAGCAAAAUUUUUAAAAAUAAGAAGAAAAACAUAAUUAAAAUUUUGCUUAUAUUUUGCUUAUUAUUUUACACAAACCAAUUUUUUUACACAAACCUAAGAUUUUUUGUAGUGGUUUAAUUCUAGUAAGAACUUCUGACAUUCGCAACCGAGUGAUACACAACACCAAGAAAUUGAGUACAGCUAAACACUUCGCCAACGCCAAUUUGUUGUGUUUAAAAUCCGACGAUAGUCUGAAAAAAUCAAGAACAAGUAAUCUAAUAUGGCAGAAGAAGAUUUAGCGUAGACCCCGACUUGGGCAGUGACUGCUUCUCCAUAGCUAGAAUUACUAUAACCGGCAGUGCAGCUUUUCAAUAGUAUAAUGCAUUGAAGCAGGGCAGAUCUAGAUAAUUUAAUCAAUGGGGGGUAAUAGCCAAUUUCAAUUUAAUCAGUGAAAAUGAGAUUUUUUGGGCUUUACCUAGAAAAAAAUUGUGUAGGGGCAAUAUUUUAAUUUUUAAUGGUGGCAUAAUUUAUUUUUGCUAAACGAGUAUUAAUAAAAAAAAAAUUGAGUGGUGGCAUGAUUCAUUGCAGCGCAUCUUAUUUGUAGAGAGUGUUAACAAAUUACCUGACUCCAAUAACAGCAUGAAAUCCUCCUCCAACGAUCUCAUUACGUAUUUUUGGAAGUUAAAUUGUCUUCCUAGACCAAGAGAAAGUAGGUUCUUUUUUUUAGUUUAUCACUAACGAGAAAUCGUUGAAAUUGAUAUAUAUAUAUAUAUAUAUAUAUAAAUAGUAUGUUAAAGAUAAAUAACCAUAUUAGCAUGAUUCUAAAUUGUUUAUACUUAAUCUUUCUUGAUAUUUGAAAAAUAUUAAGUAAUAUCUAAGCAAACGUAAAUAAAAUAUAAGGAAAACAUAAGCAAAAUAUAAGCAAAUUUUUUUUUUUAAAUAGAAGAAAAACAUAAUUAAAAUUUUGCUUAUAUUUUGCUUAUUAUUUUACACAAACCAAUUUUUUUACACAAACCUAAGGUUUUUUGUAGUGGUUUCUAAUUCUAGUAAGAACUUCCGACAUUCGCAACCGAGUGAUACACAACACCAAGAAAUUGAGUACAGCUAAACACUACGCCAACGCCACUUAUUUAUUGUGUUUAAAAUCCGACGAUAGUCUGAGAAAUCCAAGAACAAGUAAUCUAAUAUGGCAGAAGAAGAUUUAGCACAGACCCCGACUUGGGCAGUGACUACUUCUCCAUAGCUAGAAUUACUAUAACCGGCAGUGCUGCUUUUCCAUAGUACAAUGCAUUGAAGCAGGGGCGGAUCUAGAUAAUUUAAUCAAUGAGGGUAAUAAUCAAUUUCAAUUUAAUCAGUGAAAAAUGAGAUUUUUUGGGCUUAACCUGAAAAAAAAAAUUGUGUAAGGACUAUUUUAAUUUUUAAUGGUGGCAUGAUUUAUUUUUGUUAAACAAGUAUUAAUAAAAAAAAAUUGAGUGGUGGCAUGAUUCAUUGCAGCGCAUUAAAUCAUUCUUGUUUGUAGAGAAUGUUAACAAAUUACCUGACUCCAACAACCAGCAUGAAAUCCUCCUCCAACGAUCUCAUUAUGUAUUUUUGGAAGUUAAAUUGUCUUCCUAGACCAAGAUGAACCUUCAUAAAGCACAGCAUAUAGACUCUUAAUUAGCAAAAACGACGCGAUACUAAAUCGACAAAUGUUAUUUGUAAGGUGAAAAACUCAGAGUGAUGAAUCCAUUUCGCAGUAUCAAAUAGUCAAUUUUCCCAACAGAUUUGAAAAACUGUCUGAAGAAACACCUCUGAAAGUGAAAGCAUUGUAUUAACCGAAAGUGAGUAGUCCUUACAAUAGUUAUUUGAAAUUGACUAAGCAUGGAGAGAGUAUAACCAAUAGGGUGAUAGUUCUUACAAUAUAGAAAAAGAAAGUCCAGAAACUAGGGUGCACUCUUAGAAAAGACGUUUCUUGAGUUAGCCUAAAUCUGGAAGUAUGUGUAAGCAAGAACAGAGAACACAUAGAGUCAAUAAUGAGAGCUCAAGAAACCACAAAGACAAAGAAGAUGUGAUCACCUGUUGAAAACUCGUAAUCGUGGGAUGAUGUGUCUUUCUGCUAAUGCUUCCAUAUAGAAAAGACCCAUACAUAUUCUUUAAUAUUACUGAAAAAAUAAGGCUGAUAAUGUCCAAAGAAACGAAUUGGGGUCGAUGACUUUAAAAAUUAAGCACAUGCUUCAGAAAAUAAGGCUGAUAAUGAUAACAAAAAUCUCACCUCUUUGCAUCUUUUGGAAGAUGAUACAUCUCCUGAUAUGAAUCUGUGCUCAAACCACAUGAGCUUCCUGUGACCUUCCCCUUUGUCAUCUUUCUCAUCUUUCCAAUAUGGAUGAGGAGGGCAUGGGUGUUGGAUAAGCUUUGCUUAAGGCCUAAGACUUCUAACAAGUCUGUUAGAAGAAAAAGGAAAGAUUCAAGUAUUUCCAUAUUAGAUUAUGAGUUAUCUAGUUCUAAUAGGAAAAAGAAAAGUAGUUAGCAAAGUUAUGUUAACACUAUAAAUAAAUCUUUGAUGAAGUUGCAUUGAAGACUUGAGAAAGAGUUGUGUUGAUAUUUAGUUUUUGAGCAAGUUUUCUAAUCAUUAAUACAAACGAGAUUUCAUAUAAAGUGUUUAUACGACUAUAUUUAGUAUCAGCGCUUGAGUUAGAAGCGAUCCAAACCCUAGUCGAGUAAACACGAAGAUCAUACAAUACACAAAGAUGGGAGACAUUGUACGUAUGACUCAAACGAAGGAAACAACUCCGAUCUCAAUCCAAUGUCCCAUGUUAACGUCAACAAACUACACGGUAUGGGCCGUGAAGAUGAGGGUUCUACUGCGAAUCAAUAAGGUGUGGGAGACGAUUGAACCAGGUUCAACCGAUGCCAAUAAGAACGAUAUUGCAACAGGUUUAUUGUUUUAAGCUAUUCUGGAGGUUCUUAUCUUGCAAGUCGGCGAGCAGGACUCUCCAAAAGGAAUCUGGGACGCGAUCAAAGUACGACACAUAGGAUUGGAUCGUGUCAAGGAAGCUCGACUCCAAACCCUAAUGUUCGAAUUCGAAAGAAUGAAGAUAAAAGAUUCGGACACCAUAGAUAAAUUUGCGGGAAAGUUAUCGGAGCUAACCUCAAAAGCAGCUUCUCUUGGACAAAAAAUUGAAGAACCAAAAUUAGUAAACAACUUUCUCAAUAGUUUGCCAAGACACAAGUUGAUCCACAUUGUAGCCUCACUUGAGCAGGUCCUGGAUUUGAAAACAACAAGCUUCGAAGAUAUAAUAGGGAGACUCAAAGCCUACAAAGAAAGAAUUCUUGAUUCUGAGAAUCACGAAGAUACACAGGGGAAGCUGCUAUACACAAACUUGGAACAACAAACCAGUUCCAGCUCAAUAGGGAAAGGACAUGGAAGAGGAGGCAGAGGAAACAGAGGACGAAGCAGAGGAGGAAGAUUUAACUCGCAAGAUCAAUUAACAAACCAGAACGAUCAAAAUCAAGAAAAAGAGAAGAAGGAUAGAUCAGAGAUUAUUUGUUAUCGAUGCGAUAAACCUGGACACUUUGCCUCUGUAUAUCCAGAAAAAACACAAAGAACAGAACAAACAAAUAAAGUGGAGACAGAAGAAGCUGAUGCAGCACUUUAUAUGCAUGAAGUUGUGUUCCUAAACAAAGAGAAACUGAUUCCGAAGAACUUUGAGACAAACAAAGACAAAGAUGGAGUCUGGUAUCUCGACAAUGGAGCAAGUAACCACAUGACAGGCAACACGGAUUACUUCUCCGAGCUCAACAAGAAUAUCAAAUGCAAAGUCAAGUUUGGUGAUGGAUCUUGUGUGGAAAUAGGAGGGAAAGGAUCCAUUAUUUUAAAAGGCAAGACCGGUGAACAAAGACUUGUCAAUGAUAUCUACUACAUCCCUGACCUGAAGAGAAACAUCCUGAGUUUAGGACAAGCUACAUCACUGAUAUCUCACCAAUCACAUGGUGUUCGCAAAAGCAGGAAACAGAUACACUUUCAACCUGUGAGGCAGAGUUUAUGGCAGAAACAGACGCGGCUAGACAAGCAAUAUGGCUCCAAGAACUCUUAAGUGAGAUUACAGGAUGGAAGACUGACCAAGGUAUCAUAAAGAUUGAUAACCAAUCUUCUCUCACUAGGAAUCUAGUGUUUCACGGAAGGAGUAAGCACAUUCACAAGCGCUACCACUUCAUCAGAGAAUGCAUUGAGAAUGAUCUAGUUGAUGUGGAGCAUGUACCUGGAGUGGAACAAAGGCUGACAUUAUAAUCAAAGCAUUGACAAGGAUUAAGUUUACUGAGAUGAGGAGCUUGAUCGGUGUUCAAGACAUUUCCAAGACUAAUUCAAAGCUUAAGAGGGAGAAUAUUGGAUAAGCUUUUCUGAAGGCCCAAGACUUCUAACAAGUCGGUUAGAAGGAAAAGGAAAUAUUCAAGUAUUUCCAUAUUAGAUUAAGAGUUAUCUAGUUCUAAUAGGAAAAAAAAAGUAGUUAGCAAAGUUAAAUAGGUCUUUGAUGAAGUUGAAUUAGAGACUUGAGAAAUAUUUGUGUUGAUGUUUAGUUUUUGAGCAAAUUUUCUAAUCAUUAAUACAAAGAGAUUUCAUAUAAAGUGUUUAUGCGACUAUAACGGGAGCAUCGUAUGAGCAGCAGGUGAUGGGACACAAAUCUUCAAACUGCAUUUUUCACCGAAAGUCAGGAGCAAGGAGAUGAAUCCAAGAAUCAUCAGUUCUGCAACAUAGAGGAAACAAUAUAUAUUGAGAACUUAAAAUGGAAAAUUUCAAUGUCUCUUAACUUGAAACAAGAUUCAGAUUCAAUUCGAUCACCUGAUUUAAAAUUUCGUAAAAGCAUAAAAAAGGCUCUCUUGUGGCGGUCCCAUAUAACCUAAAUCAAGAACAAGUUGACUUCAAGUCAAAUACUAAAUUUUAUUAUGAAUUUAAACCCAAAAUCUAAAAGAUAAAGAUAGUUUCAUUUCUCGAAUCAAAGAGAACUUAAUCCCAAAAUAAAGUGCUCAAAUUUCAACAUUAAGCCAAAAGAACAGAUUUAUCAUACAUAUGCGCUAUAGUCACAGGUCUUAAAGGACAGUGGGGACCAUUGUAUGGCCACCCCAAGCUUCUCCACAUUUUUCUUGGGCCUUUUAUUCCACGACUCAGGCCUUAACAUAUUUUGGCCUUAUGGCCUUAAGAUGUAUUGGCCUUAUAAUGAUAAUCCCUAAGCUACUAUGCAAGAGCACAGAUGUGCAAUUGUAGUAUGUAGGGGUCGAACCACAGAGACGAGAGAUUCGCUCAAUAAACCUAUUAGAAAUUGAAUUACUCUAAGCAGAUUAAUAAGAAGCAAAUAGCGAUGCAAAUAAAGAAAAACGAAUGCAGUAAAAACAUUUGUAAAGUUCAGAUGGGUGGAGAUUAGGUCUAGGGCGUUUCUCAGGAAAUCAAUGAAUGCAGAACAAUCGAUUAAUCAGGGUUCAGGUUUAAGCACGGUUCUUGAACUCGAAUCACAAAAUUAUAAUUAACCAACUUCCGUUGUGAGAAUUAUCUAAGUUAAAAUCCUAGAAAUUCAAAUUCCUUUGCAAACCCUAAAUUUUUAAACCAGCUUUAAUGCACAAGUUCGAUAUGUUCACAAAGCAUCUAAACCAAAUUCCUUUGCGAAUACCUACUUUGCUCACCCUAGGUUCUUUCCAGUUAUUCAAUUACACUUCCGUGUCAAUCAAUUAACCUAAGAUCUAAGUUCUAGGUGGCCAGUCCUGAAUUAGCUUUAAGAACAACCUAUGGUGAAGAACUAAUCAGAUUAUAAACCCUAAUCAACCAAUCAAUCUAACAUCUAAAGAAAUCCUUUAUGAGAACCCUAAACCUAACAAGCAAACUACUCAGACAUGGAGAUUAAAUCAAUAAACAUGAAUGGAUAGAUUGCAGAAAGCAGUAAAUAGAUUAAUAAACAGUGGUUCGAAAUCUUCUCUCUCUGGAACAGAAUUUCAGACUUGUCUCCCCAAAGCUCUCAAAAACAAGAUUUCUCUCUCAGAAAAUCUAAGGUAUCGAUAUAAGGUGGCUAAAAACCCUAUUUAUAACUUAAAACACAUUUUGGGCUUCCUUGUAAUUAUUGGAGACUUUUGGGCCCAACUCCUUCUUCAAACAGGAAACAAAUCACGUUUUCCUUAUUUAUUUGACAAGUGUCGAGCAUCACUCUCUAUGGUGUCGAGCGACACUAAAGCACAAAAUCCAUCCUUGACGAAUUUGAUCCUGAUUCAGCUCCAAAGUGCUCCAAAGUCUCCAGUUAAGCUCUAAACGUACCUAUGACCUGAAAAGACUCCAAAAGACUCGAAAAACACUAGAAAGACUCUAUAAAUAAGACAUAUACCAUGGUUAAAAACCAUAAAAACCAUGAUAUAUCAAAUGAUCAAUAAUCAUUAGGAAAAAAAUCGCAUAACAAUUUAGGCCUUUAGUAGCUCUUUUAACCGAUACUAAGUUGGAAGUGAAUUUAGGUACAAAAAAUGCUUCAUUAUUCUUGUUAAACAAAUUCAAUUUACCAGUUCCUUCUAUAGGAAUUCCAUCACCAUUAGCUAUUACCACUUUAACUAAAGCAGGUUUUAUGUUGUUUGAGAGCUUAGGAUUACUAAUCAUGUGAUGAGAAGCUCCUGAAUCUACAACUAGAGUGCUACUAGGUUUAUGGGAAAAGAAGGUGAUAUCGGAUUGUUUAGAAGCAAAAGUCUUGAUAAGUGCCUCUAGAUCGCUUUUCUUCACAAACUCCACAGAUGCAUUCAUAGCCACCUCUCCUCCUGAAGUAGAUCCGCUUGCGGUUUCUUGAGAAAGAUUGGCCCGAGAGCCCUUGAAAUUUUUGGGCUUAAGGUGAGGAUAGAGGAUUCAGCAUUUCUCCUUGGAGUGACCUUUCUUCUUGCAGUGGUCACACACCCAAGACUUUUUUUCCUCUGGUUUGGACACUCCUUUGUUGGCUGAGAUGAACUCUCUAUUCUUGAAGAGACCGAUGGAACUCUGCUUCUUUUGGAUCCUGGCACAUACAUCUUCGAGACUUGGGAGCUCAUCCUCUCUCAAAAUGUGUUUGAUGAGAUCGUUGAAGGUGGGAUUCAAGGUGAGGAGAAGCCCAAACACCUUGUCUUGCUCGUGUCUUUCAUUAAGGAUCUUGGGAUCCAAGGUGCUCGGCCUCAACAUUUCUAGUUCGACCCACAAAGAUUUAAACUUUCCAAUGUGUUUGGUGAACUCCAUGUCUUCCUGACUUAGAUUGUUGAUAGCUUUUUGACGUCAAAGACUCUGCUCAGGUUUGUAUCGUUUCCAAACACAUUCUUGAGAGUUUCCCAAAGAGACUUAGCUGUCUCACAGUUGGAGUAAACUUCAAGAAUCGACGGCUCAAGGGAGUUUUGAAUGAGACCAAGAACAGUCUGGUCUUCUUGAAACCACUUAGCUUCUUUGGCCUUGGCUUCUUCACUCUUUGUAUCGCCUUUGGUGUCUUCUUCUUCUGGUGUUUUUCCUCCAAGACAUCACUCCAGAGACCUCGACCACACAAGGCUGUUUUUGUGGUUCUUGUCCACAACAGAUAGUUUCCUCCUUUGAGGAUAACAGGAAUGACAAUUGGCUUGGAAUUUUCAGUAGAUAGAGUGCAAGAACUCAUUUUUGAUGUUCAAGAAAUGGAGAUAGUAUGAAGAUUAAAAUGAAGAUUAAGAACAGAGAGUAAACAAGAACCAAUUAUGAGAAGAUGAAGAAGUGUUUAGAGAAUUUUAGAGAAUAAAGAGAAUGAAGAUUAGUGACUAAACGCUCAGGACAUGAGCUCUGAUAGUAUUUUAAAUUUUAUUAAUGCGAAAUUAAGAGAUUAAUUAGGAGAGAAAUAGAGAAAUUAAGAGAAAUAGUUUGAAUAAGUCUCAAAUAUGUGUGUAUUAUUCAUUCUUGGUGGAAUACAUUUUUAGAGAGACAAAGGAGACUCUAGGUCUAGGUUACAAGAGAAUAAGACAAAUUAAGUAGUUAGACACAAAGAAUCACGUGUAGAGGUAAGAAGAUGCUCUCUGAUCCCUACGAUGAUAGCAACGGCUCCCAACAUCAUAUUGACCAUGCAUGAGCCACGUCUUGGAGAGGAGGGGACCAUUGUACGGACUGCUCCUCAUUUCACCGAGUCUCAGACAUCUCUCUUGGGCCUCUAAACAUUAUCUUUAGCCUUAAUUCUUAUUCUGGCCAUAUGUAAACACAUCUUGGCAUAUACUUGAUCAAUAGUAGACUUUUAAAUGUGGAAGGAGAGGCAUCAUUGAUAUGUUUUCUUAUUCUUUUAGAUACACGUGAACUCUCCUAUGAAAAUCAGAAAACUGAAACUCUGAUUAGGAAAAAUCAUAUUCUGAACCAAAGUGGCACUAUAUUGACAAGAGAGAGUUCUGAUCUUACAAAUAGGAAUUAGAGAUUCUUAAAUGUGGAAGGAGAUGCAUAAAUUAUAUGUAUUUUUAUUCCUUUGGAUUCACCUAAACUCUCCUAUGAAAAUCAGAAAACUGAAACUCUGUUUAGGAAAAGUCAUAUUCUCAUCCAAAAUGGCACUAUAUUGACAAGUGGGAGCUCUGAUCUUACAAAUAUAAAGUAGACACUCAUAUAUGUGGAAGAGAUGCAUCAUUUACAUGUAUUCUUAUUCAUUUGGAUUCGCCUAAACUUUCUUAUGAAAAUCAGAAAACGGAGACUCUGUUUAGGAAAAAUCAUAUUCUGAUCCAAAAAGGCAUUAUAGUGACAUAGGAGUUCUGAGCUUACAAAUAUAAAGUAAAAACUCUUAAAUGUGGAAGGAAAUGCAUCAUUUAGAUGUAAUUUAUUCAUUUGGAUACACCUAAAAUUUCCUAUGAAAAUAAGAAAACUGGGAUUCUAUUUAAAAAAAAUCAUAUUUGAUCCAAAAUAGCAUAGUAUUGACAAAAGGGAGUUCUAAACUUAGAAAUAGGAAUUAAAGACUCCUAAAUGUGGAAGGAAAUGCAUCAUUUAUAUGUAAUUUGAUUCCUUUGGAUACACCUAAACUUUUCUAUGAAAAUUAGAAAACCGAAACUCUAUUUAAGAAAAGUCAUAUUUGAUCCAUAAUGGCACUAUAUUGACAAAAUGAAAUUCUAAGCUUAGAAAUAAGAAUUAAAAACUCCUAAAUGUGAAAGGAGAUGCAUUAUUGACAUGUUAUACCAAAAAAAUAAUCUUCUAUCACUUCCAUAUCUUGAUCAAAACCACAAGUGUUGGAGACGACUUGAUAACAUGGACAACAGAGAAAUGAAUGAGCAGCUGAAGUGGCCACUCACGUGUUGAUUAUGCACGUAAAUGAGAUUUGAGAGAUAAAGUUGGUGAAGUUCCUCUCGAAGGAAAAAAAACCAAUUUAUGUAGACAAACUCUCUGUUCAUUAUAUGUUGUGACCAAACUUGGAACCAUGGAUACACAUAAGAAAUGACAAAGUUUGUUGCAAAGGGAAUAUUUGUUUUACCUUACUUAACAAUUUGACAAAAGAGUAUAAAACUUCAAUCUAAUCUUAUAUAUAAAAGUUGCUCAACUUUCUCCAUAUGAUUGACACAUCAGCAUUAGAUAGAUUGACAUCUGUCUUUAUAUUUUCAUUAAUAAAUUUUAAUAUUAAAAUUUAAAACACUUAAAGAAUAUGAAAAGUUUGUUUUAUUAAUUGACUCUUAAUUAAAAUUUAUAUUAAUGUUAAACAAAAAUUUAUGUUAUAACUAAUUAAAAUAUUGAUAGAUAUGUAUUUAAUUUUUAUAUAAUUGUAGAUUACUUAAUAAUAUUUAGAUUACUUAAUAAUAUUCAAGAUGUAUUUUAAAUUAAUUUUUUAAAAUUAUUUAUAAUAAAAUACUGACAAGUAACAAAUGAAAUGAUGAUUAUAUUAAUUUUAUUUUUUAAGUAAUUGACUAUUAAUUAAUAUUUCUGUAAAUGUUAAACAAAAUUUAUGUUAUAACUAAUUAAAAAUAUUGAAUGAUAUUUAUUAAUCUUAAUAUAACUUUAAAUUAUUAAAUAAUAUUCAAUAUGUAUUAAUAUUUUAUAAUUUUUUAAAAUAAAAUAUUAACAAGUAAGUAAGUAACAAGUGAUGAUUAUAUUAAUUUUUAUAAAAAUAUAAAAAAAAAUUAAAAAUUUUGAAAAGAAAAACCCGCACGUUACGUGCGGGUAUUCACCUAGUCUAAUACAAAAAGAGAAUAGAGUUCUCUAGCGUAAACACAUCAGAUCAUUUUUAUUGGUUAAUUUUUUUCUUUUUUUUUUGAUGUGUCUGAUAACUCUUCUACUCUCUUUAUAUAUUAUAUAUUAAACAACUCAUUAAUGUGAUCAUUUUUCUGAUAACAGAAAUACUAAUUAGCUAAAUCAAAUGCAUUUUUUCAGGAUAUUCUAGUGGCUAGACUAAUUAUGCAUAAUUCUAUCCAUUUGAAAAAUUACAUGAUAUCAAUUAUUUUAAUAAUAAUCACAUAACACUAUACACCAGAACCACAAAAGCAACUAAGACAGAAGCGGAAAGUGCAAUAAAUUGCGAUAAAGUGACACUUUCCUUCGCAGCCCACCUCCAGCAUCUCUCACGGCGUCGGAGCCCAUGCCCUUUUAUCACUAGUUUUCCCCUCCCUAUGGGGAAAUCAAAGAAGCUUAAGAAGAAGCCUCCUGGUGGGGGCUCCCUUUCAUCUGGCGAGUCCUCGCCGUCUUCAGCCUUCGGCGACUCAAAAUCCUCUGGCGGCUCAAAAUCGUCAGAUCUCUCUUUGCCCUCCAACAAGAUUGCCUCAGAAAAUGGUGCAUCUGUUUGCUCAGCCAAAAUCAGUGUGGUCCCAGAUCAAACUAUUGAUGGUUCUCUUUCAGAUCUGAACCUCCCUGAUGCAAAUGUGAUGGCUACAACUCCGGCUGUCUUAGAUCCGUCUCAAAUAGUUACUGACGAGAAGGUCUCCUCAGUCCCAAGCUCCCCUGCGAAAGCUGCAAAAGCAGCCGACCCAGCUUCUGCGAAAACUGUGCAAACAGUGGACUCAACUACUGUUAAAUCUGCUCCGGCAUGUAAAACCCCGACCACUACUAACACGUUGCUCGCGGCUGAUUCGUGGUGCGAACUAUUCAAAGGAACCUCGAAGCAACAUUCUAAGAAAGGUAUGCCUUUUAUCCUCCCGUCGGGUGAAUCUUGCAUCAAGAUCCCCAAUGCCGUUAUUGAGAGGAACCAGAAAUCCUGGCAAUCUUUCAUCAUCGGUCAGUUCUACUCAGAAGCCCCAUCUCAAGGACUUAUUCACAACAUGGUCAAUGGUAUUUGGAGUAAGCGCUUCAGAGACAUCACCAUGUCAAAAAUGGAAGGUUUCACGUUUUUCUUCAAAAUCUCAGACGCUUCUACAAGAGCAAGGGUGCUGAAUCAAAAGCUCUGGCAAAUUGAGGGCCAAACGAUGUUUGUGGCAAAUUGGGAACCCGGUGUGAUCCCAGAAAAGCCAGAACUCACGUCUGUCCCUAUCUGACUUGAAUUAAGAAACUUCCCUCUUUAAUUCUUUGGCGAGGAAGGUUUAGAGCGCAUUGUUGGCCUUGUGGGAGACCCAAAGUUUUUCCAUCUGUAAACCGCAAACAAGACCAACCUAGAGGUCGCAAAAGUUUUCACCAUCAUCGACCCGAGAAAGCCACUGCCAGAAGCAGUGAACGUCCAAUUCGAGAGUGGUUACAUCAGUCGAAUCCUUGUUUCCAGCCCAUGGAUACCACCGAUAUGCUCACACUGCAAAAAGGUUGGCCAUUGUGUGAAGCGCUGCAAACUUGCCCCAAUAACCUGUUCCAUCUGCAAGUCUGUAGCCCACACUACAGAUAAGUGCACAAGGGCUAAAACAAAAGGCAAACAAAAAACAUCUUCUACUUUACCUCUAUCCCCUAAGAAAUUGAAUGGAGUUUUUAUCAAAGAGCCCCAGGACCUCACGAUUAAGGCUCGGACGAUGAUAACACCGUAUUUUGAUCACUUUUGUGGAUCGUUUUUAAAUGCUUUUCAAAUGAUUUUUAUUUCUUUUAAGUGUUUUAAGUAUGGUUUUCUAGUAUUUGUAGUUUCAAGACUCUUUUCAGGUAAUUAAGGCAAAAGGUGUGCAUUUUGAAGCAAAAGACCAUUUUGGAUAAAUUCGGAUCCUCAGAAAUUUCACAUCCGAUGAAGACCUUCCCACCGUCAGAUCAUCCCCAAAAUCAGACAUAAUAUAGAAGAGACAACUAGCUUUCAAAUGCAAUUGUUUUGAAGAUAAUCCAAUGGUUAGAUCUCCAGAUAUCCUUGAUGCACUGAAGACAUGUUCUGCAGUCUCGCGAAGGAAGCAAGCACAGAAUGAAGAUUCAACCUCAAAGACCAAUCCCCGCGGGUCCAGGAGCCACGACCGCGGAGAACACAUUCUCGACCGCGGUUACGAGUCUCUGGCCGCGGCCAAACCCCAAUUCACCGCGGUCAGAAGCCUCGCGACCGGUGCCGACUAAAAGGCUGGCCCAUGACCCUGUUUCAAGCCCAAUUCGUCUUUUCUUCAUUGGAAACCCUAAGGACGACUGAAGAGAGUUCAAGACCUAUAAAUAUGUGUCUAAGGAUACCUAUUUUCGUGUGCCUCAGAAGAAUCCCUUUUGGGAGCCACCAAAUUUAGUUUUUUAGGGUUUUUAUGUUCUUAUAUUCUUAGUUCUUAGUUUAGGGAGAUAGAUAUUUCUCUUGAACCCUCUUUAUGUUCUACCUUUAUCUUAAUUCGGUUUUUACUGUUAUGCAUCUUUCAAUUUCGUUUUUAUCUUCUUCAUAUUAGAUUAGUUGUUUAAAGGAUUUGAAGAGAAGUUUUCUCUGAGCUUAGAUCUCGAAAUCGAGAUGCUUCUUCUUCAUCUCCUUGUCUGUUUUUCUCUACUUCUUUCUUCUUAUUAAUCUAUGCACGUCUCUUACUUUAUGCACGUUUUGGAAUGAUGAGGUAUGAGUUUAAAGGCUCGAUCGAAGGGAAUCAACUAUCUUCGAUAAGGAUCUUCGCGAGAUAAACCAAAGCCGAAUUCUAGAAAUCUUUCUUCUAAACUUAUACUCAAAGCAUGGAUUUAGCGUCGCGAACUAGAGACUGAUCUAGGUCCUUGGUGUUGCGAAAGUAUUAAUCCGGGGCUGGAUCUAGUUUGAGAAGAGCAGAUCAACCAUAGGAGUGGAAACCUACCUAUGGGCGAGCUGUGAAUGUUGACGAGUCUUAAACAUAAUGCAUAUUUUCCCUUCCAGGGCCAGAGUGGAAACCUACUGGUCAGGGUUGCGAGAGAUAGUUUUUUAUGAUCACGACAGUGGCGUAUUCAUACGUCCGUGACUCGAGUUCUAAGAAUUUACUAGGAUCAAUAUUAAGAGCUUUGUUCAUCCUUUAGAUUUAUUAUCGAUUUAUUCACUUCUAGUUUUCAAAUCCCUUUUUAAAAUACAUAUAUAGAAAUCGCACAACCUAUCCAAAACACGUAUUUCGUCUUAGACUUUGUUUCCUAAUUCUGGUUCUAAGGUUCUAAGGUUCUGCAGGUAAAGCGUGGAUUCUCUGUGGAUCGACACCCUAAGUACUACAACGCACUGCUGUGCACUUGCAGAUAUCUAGGGUUAUAAAUUUAAAACAUGAAGCCGCGAAGUCAACCCUAGCAGCAUCAAGUUUUUGGCGCCGUUGCCGGGGAAUCCAAUCGUCUUCACCUACACAAUCUCAGAGGUUAGUAAAUUGACUCUAAGACAUUUUUUUCUUACUAGUUUUUGGUUUUCUUAGUUUCAAGUCUUAAAAAAAAAAAAAAAAAAAAAAAAAAAAAAAAAAAAAAUUGUGUUCCAACCCGCGGUCGUUCCUGCGCGACCCAAAACGAACUUUCCUGUCCCGAAUCAAUGGUAUGACGACUUCAAUCCAUUCUCAUUCACACUUUCAACCAUCUACCACCCUUUACCAUCACCACACCACCAUACCAUGAUCCCGAGACGUCCAGGUAAGUUUUCUCUUUCUUUAUCUUUUCAAUUCAUUACAUACAUCUUUACUCUGAUUUAUUUCACAUCUUAAAGUGUGAUUUAAGUCUGGGGGAGGAUUUCAUCUCUUUCUAACCACCUUUCUUUCAUAAGUCUUUGCAUUCUGCAUUUUUAUUUCAUAAUAACUAAAAAAAAAAAACAUCGGUUUUACAAAGUGUUUUCAAAGCAAAAUACAUUUUGAGGGAAUUAUGACAAAAAUCUAUGAUGAUAACCAACCUGUAUGCUUCUACGCUAUGCAUGAUUGCUCUUUUGUGGUUUAAUACUAGAGUAGGCGGUAGCCAGAGUACUUGCAAUACAAACUCCCACCAGAGGACUUCUAAUCGUGGAGAUUCUUUCUGACAGGAUAUAGUAGCUCAUUUUAUUUGGACUUAAUAUUGAUAUCUAAUUUUCUCAUCAUUGAUUCUAAGCAAGCAUCAUGUUAUACAUCUAGGACAUCUUUUUCCUCAUCUUACCACUCUUUGUUGUCCUAGAUGGCCAGUUCAUAUUUAGCUGGUACCGUACCCUUAACCCAAAAAUUUUAUUUUCGAACCUCAUGCAUCUUCUCUUUAGUUUAUAUCAGCUGAUAUGUGCAAAAACGCCGGAGAGGGAGGAACGACACAGUUUUCAGUCACUCAAGAGAAUGACUGAAUGGAGUUAAGAAGGAAGAGUAUCAGCAAAUCUUUAGCAGCCUCAGAAAGCUCAUUCUUAAUGGUAAUUUUCGUGCAUCUCUAGGACUCUAUCUAAAGGUGUUUCCUUUUCUAAAAAAAAAAUUAAAAAAAAAUGAGAGAAAAGAAGAGAAAGAAAAAUAAUGAAGAGGAAAGGAAACAAAAACCUUAAGAGUCCUAGAUUGUCGAUAUUAUUCAAGACAAAGGCAACAAGUAUUCAUUUAUGGGAGAUAUAAUAAGCUAGACAAAAAUCUAAGUCUGGGGGAAUUAUAAGGAGAACCUGAAGAAGAAAAUCAGAGAUCUUAUGACAAGAAGAACAUGACUGAAAACUGUGGAUAUCAACUGCUUCAUCCUCUCUUGUUGUUUUGCAUAAUAUCAUGCUUCUUCAGAAAUUAAGGUAACCUAAAACACUUUAAACCUCACACCUAAAAAGCCCUUUGAAUAUCUAGCCUUGAUAGUCUUCUUUACUUUUCUUUUGAUGAGAACCACUGAAACUUUUAAUGAAUGAUAAAAGCUAGUUGACUGGAAGUUAGAAUAUAAGUGUGUAGAUUUUUGCAUGACGCAUCAACGGACUAGUUAUGCUUGUAUUUUGGUGAGAAUUUUCUAGGUUAUACCCGACUUAUGCAUUAUGAUUGAUUAUGGUCUAGGAGUAUGGUUCCUGAGAAUUUUGAGUUCCCUAUGAUUUCAGUUAAAGGCUUUUUCUAGGCUUAGAUCUUGCUUUGUUUGAGGACAAACAAAGGUUUAAGUCUGGGAGAAUUGAUAACACCGUAUUUUGACCACUUUUGUGGAUCGUUUUUAAAUGCUUUUCAAAUGCUUUUUAUUUCUUUUAAGUGUUUUAAGUAUGGUUUUCUAGUAUUUGUAGUUCCAAGACUAUUUUCAGGUAAUUAAGGCAAAAGGUGUGCAUUUUAAAGCAAAAGACCAUUUUCGAUAAAUUCGGAUCCUCAGAAUUUUCACAUCCGAUGAAGACCUUCCCACCGUCAGAUCAUCCCCAAAAUCUGAAAUAAUAUAGAAGAGACACCUAGCUUUCAAAUGCAAUUUGUUUGAAGACAAUCCUAUGGUUAGAUCUCCAGAUAUCCUUGAUGCACUGAAGACAUGUUCUGCAGUCUCGCGAAGGAAGCAAGCAAAGAAUGAAGAUUCAACCUCAAAGACCAAUCCCCGCGGGUCCAGGAGCCACGACCGCGGAGAACACAUUCUCGACCGCGGUUACGAGUCUCUGGCCGCGGCCAAACCCCAAUUCACCGCGGUCAGAAGCCUCGCGACCGGUGCCGACUAAAAGGCUGGCCCAUGACCCUGUUUCAAGCCCAAUUCGUCUUUUCUUCAUUGGAAACCCUAAGGACGACUGAAGAGAGUUCAAGACCUAUAAAUAUGUGUCUAAGGAUACCUAUUUUCGUGUGCCUCAGAAGAAUCCCUUUUGGGAGCCACCAAAUUUAGUUUUUUAGGGUUUUUAUGUUCUUAUAUUCUUAGUUCUUAGUUUAGGGAGAUAGAGAUUUCUCUUGAACCCUCUUUAUGUUCUACCUUUAUCUUAAUUCGGUUUUUACUGUUAUGCAUCUUUCAAUUUCGUUUUUAUCUUCUUUAUAUUAGAUUAGUUGUUUAAAGGAUUUGAAGAGAAGUUUUCUCUGAGCUUAGAUCUCGAAAUCGAGAUGCUUCUUCUUCAUCUCCUUGUCUGUUUUUCUCUACUUCUUUCUUCUUAUUAAUCUAUGCACGUCUCUUACUUUAUGCACGUUUUGGAAUGAUGAGGUAUGAGUUUAAAGGCUCGAUCGAAGGGAAUCAACUAUCUUCGAUAAGGAUCUUCGCGAGAUAAACCAAAGCCGAAUUCUAGAAAUCUUUCUUCUAAACUUAUACUCAAAGCAUGGAUUUAGCGUCGCGAACUAGAGACUGAUCUAGGUCCUUGGUGUCGCGAAAGUAUUCAUCCGGGGCUGGAUCUAGUUUGAGAAGAGCAGAUCAACCAUAGGAGUGGAAACCUACCUAUGGGCGAGCUGUGAAUGUUGACGAGUCUUAAACAUAAUGCAUAUUUUCCCUUCCAGGGCCAGAGUGGAAACCUACUGGUCAGGGUUGCGAGAGAUAGUUGUUUAUGAUUACGACAGUGGCGUAUUCAUACGUCCGUGACUCGAGUUCUAAGAAUUUACUAGGAUCAAUAUUAAGAGCUUUGUUCAUCCUUUAGAUUUAUUAUCGAUUUAUUCACUUCUAGUUUUCAAAUCUCUUUUUAAAAUACAUAUAUAGAAAUCGCACAACCUAUCCUAAACACGUAUUUCGUCUUAGACUUCGUUUACUAAUUCUGGUUCUAAGGUUCUGUAGGUAAAGCGUGGAUUCUCUGUAGAUCGACACCCUAAGUACUACAACGCACUGCUGUGCACUUGCAGAUAUCUAGGGUUAUAAAUUGAAAACAUGAAGCCGCGAAGUCAACCCUAGCAAGCAUCAGACGACUCUAUCUAUUUCCACUCGGGAAAAAUUAGUUCUUUCAUAACUUGACCAUGGUACUAAAUCUGCAAAGUCCAACUCGGUUAAGGUUGUUGGUGAAUCAAGCAGGCUAUUAGUCUCCGAGAAAGUUAUCACAGAAUAUGGUCCUUCUCCUCCAUUGAAAGACUCGCAGAUUGCUGAUCUCGACCAUGACUCGUCUGAUGUUGCCUCUAGCGAAGCAGAAGAUGGUGAGAUUCAGGAGGAGAUAAAGGAGCAUUUUACAGAGGUUCUGUCAAAGCGCCAGCUUCACAAUUCCUGGAGUCUCAGGGGCAAGGGCCUUAAAUCCAAUUAGUAUAUGUAUAUAGACAUGUUUUGCUGGAAUGUCCGUGGUUUCAACAAGUAUUCACACCGAGGCAGAUUUAGGAAGUGGCUGCAUAGUAGUAAAUCUAUUUUUGGAAGUAUUAUUGAAACGCAUGUGAAGAGGCCGAAAAAUGUGAAGUUUGUCCAUGCUAUUUUUCCAGGUUGGAAAUUUGAGGACAACUAUGAGUUCUCUGAAUUAGGAAAGAUUUGGUUCUUUGGCACUCUAGUGUGCAGGUGACUGUGUUACAGAAGUCGCUCCAGAUGAUUACAUGUGAGAUGAGGCUUCCUUGUAACCCGAGUUUGAUUGGGUUUCUUUUGUUUACGCCUCCACAUAUUAAGCUUUGAGGAGGGAUCUGUGGACUGAGAUUGUGAACAUGGCCUCUGAACCGCGGGUUCAGAGCAAGGCAUGGUCUGUUUUGGGAGAUUUCAACCAAGUAGUCAGCCCUGAUGAGCACUCUUCCCCGGCCAGUUUGAAUGUUGACAAAGCAAUGUGAGUUUUUCGAGGUGUUUUGCUCAGCGCUGGAUUAGAAGACCUGACUUUCAGAGGUUGCUCGUUCACAUGGUGGAACAAAAGAAAGACUAGGCCAAUUGCAAAAAAGCUUGAAAGAGUACUGGUAAAUGAGGAGUGGCACUUGUUAUUCCUCAAUGCAGCUGGUUUUUUUUUGCCCUCCUGAUUUCUCGGACUAUUCUGUUGGUUAUGUUUAUUUGGAUUCUGCCUCCCCCAGGCAGAAGAAGCCUUUUAAGUUCUACAACUUCCUUCUGAAGCAUACGGAUUUUCAGCCUUUAGUGUGUGAUGCCUGGUACUCUACAAAUGUGAGUGGGUCGGACAUGUAUAGAGUUUCAAAGAAGUUAAUGGCCCUAAAAUCUGUGAUCCGCACCUUCAGUAAAUAAAAUUUCUCCGAACUGGAGAAGAGGGUGGUUGAGGAUCACGAUUCUCUGCUUGUCUGUCAGAACCUUAUAUUGCUUUCUCCUUCUCCUGCAAACGUUGAAUGUGAGCUGGAGGCACACCGGAAGUGGGAUAUCUUAUUGAAAACGGAAGAGGCUUUUUUCUGUCAGCGUUCUAAUAUAAAUUGGCUCAGUGAAGGAGAUAGGAACACUGCUUAUUAUCACAAGAUUGUUAAGUCCAGGCAGGCUUCAAACCACAUUCAUAUCCUCGACGAUGACCAAGGCAACCGAAUUGAUUCCCAGGCUGGAAUCAUUGAUCAUUGUGUUGACUAUUUUCAGAAUAUCCUGAGUGGUGCUCAAGAUUCACCAAUGUUUUUUGAGGAUGAUAUCACUUCUCUGCUUAAAUUUCGCUGCUCAGAACCCCAAAGGAAAGAGCUCGAGGUGUCUUUUUCAAAGACAGAAAUCAAGUCGGCUUUCUUCUCCAUUUCGAAGAACAAAGCUUGUGGUCCUGAUGGCUAUUCAGCAGAGUUCUUCACGGCUUGCUGGAUCAUCGUCGGUGUUGAGGUUACUUCUGUCGUAUCUGAAUUUUUUAUCUCUGGGAAAAUUCUUAAGCAGUAGAACGCCAAAAGUCUUGUUCUGAUUCCGAAGAUCCCCAACGCAUCGAGGACAAUAGACUUCCGCCCUAUAUCCUGUCUGAACACGGUUUAUAAGGUGAUAUCUAAGCUCAUAUCCUCUAGGAUGAAAUCCAUCUUGCCUUCGGUCAUCUCGCAUCACAAGACUGCUUUUAUGCAUGAGCGCCUUCUCGCCGGGAAUGUUCUACUUGCGACUGAGGUUGUCCAAGGCUACAACAGGAAGCAUAUUUCUCCCCGAGCCACUUUGAAAAUUGACUUAGGGAAGGAAUUUGAUUCAAUCCAUUGGGAUUUCAUUAUCGCAGCCCUAAAAGCAAUCAACGUGCCUGACAAAUUUCUGGGUUGGAUCAGCCAGUGCAUCUCAACCGCAUCAUUCCCUAUCUUGGUUAACAGGCAUUCUGGUGGUUUCUGUAAAAGCAGCAGAGGGCUGAGGCAGGGGGAACCUAUGUCGCCGAACCUUUUAGUUCUUGCGAUGGAGGUUUCUCAAACUUAUUGUAAUCUCGUUUUGCCUCUGGUUAUAUCGGGUUUUAUCCUGGCACCUCUGACAUCGACUUAUCCCAUUUGAUGUUUGCUGAUGAUCUGAUGAUCUUUUUGGAUGGUGCUAGUUCUUCCCUUCACGGUAUAUACAAAACCUUGGAUGAUUUUGCAGGAUGGUCGGGUCUAUGCAUGAAUAGGGACAAAACAACCCUAUACCAUGCAGGUCUUACUGUGGCAGCUGCUUCUUCUCUAAUGAGCUAUGGUUUUUCAUUGAGAUCGCUUCCAAUCCGAUACAUGGGUCUGCCUUUAAUGAGUAGGAAGCUGAAGAUAUCAGAAUACGCCCCUCUUCUUGACAAGAUCACUGCACGUUUUAAAGCCUAUGCUGUUAAAUCUCUCUCUUUUGCUGGAAGGGCUCAGCUUAUUGCAAAUAGUGGCUCACUCUGGAUUGCUUGGCAGCAGCAUCAUCACAAUAUCUCAUCGUACAGCUUUUGGAAGUUAGAUGCAAAGCAGAAUGACUCUGAGAUCUGGAAGCCCUUAUUGAAGUUACGGCUCCUCGUUGAGCAGUUCAUUCACUGCAGCAUUGAUAACGGCCAAACUGUCAGCUUCUGGUAUAAUGUAUGGAGUCUUUUUUGGCAGUUAAUCAAGUUCCUGGGACAUGAUGGUCUGCAAGAUCUGCGAGUAAGGAAAACUCAGUUGUUAGGAAUGCCUGUGACAAUUCUGGUUGGUUGCUACCGGCUCCAAAAUCUGAGAAUGCAGUCGCGCUUCAUGCUUACUUGUCUACAUUGCCUCUCCCUUCUCGUUCAGCUGCGGAUGAUGUUUAUGAAUGUACAGUAAAUGGCAAGUCUGUAGCAGGGUACUCUUCCAGCACCACUUGGACUAGCCUGGGGCCGGGAGGUCCUCUAGUUAACUGGGCAAAAUUAAUCUGGUCAAAGGAGCANNNNNNNNNNNNNNNNNNNNNNNNNNNNNNNNNNNNNNNNNNNNNNNNNNNNNNNNNNNNNNNNNNNNNNNNNNNNNNNNNNNNNNNNNNNNNNNNNNNNAUCUGCAACCUUGACCGGUUACCAACUAGGCCUAGCUUGCUUCUUGGAGAGUUAAAUGUGCCUAUAGACUGCUGCUUAUGCACUGGAUUUACUGAAACUCGGGACCAUCUGAUGCUGUUAUGCGGGUUUAGUAGGGCCAUCUGGCGGCUUGUCUUUUCUCGGAUUGCUUCGCCCAUAUCCACCAUAUCAUCAUGUUCUUCUCUGAUGCAGUGGCAGAUCUGCACUAGGGAAAGAAAUCCCUCUCUCCUCAGGCGGCUUGUGACUCAGGCCACCAUCUACAUGAUUUGGAAGCAGCAUAACAACAUGAUUCACAAUCAAACCUCAAUCUCACCGUUCAUUAUCUUCAAAGAUAUUGACAGGCAAGUCAAGAAUUCCAUUACGGCUAGGAAACGCCUAAAGAAAUUUAGAAAUCUCAUGGAGCUUUGGCUCAGCUGAUUUUUUUUUUGUCCUAAAUCUUUUAUAAUUUUCUUUGCUUCCUUGUUUUUUAAUAUUUUUUGCCAAAAAACCAAUUAUAAAUAGGUCUAACUUUUGUAACGCCUAUCUUUCAUUUAUAUGAUAUUUACAGUUUAGAAAAAAAAACCACAAAAAUACACAUUAUAUUUUAACCAAUGCGCUGACGAAAAUGGGGUGCAAAUCAGAAAAGGUUUUAAUACAAAGAACGAAAUUUGUGCCACCAUGACUUGAUAAAUUAUUAACCCGUACCCCACUCAAAAUUGAAAACGAUAAAAUCCUACAUAACAAAAAAAACAAAUUAAAACGUGAAAGGUUGACGAAAACCAGGGAGAUUGCCAUGUUCCUCUUUUUCUUUUGUGACAUGACAUACGUUUAAUUUCUUCGAUCUUUGCAACGUUUCAGUUGGCUUUGAAAAUGUAAGAGUAAUAAUACGGGAACUAACACAUAACACAACACAGGGAUUUUCUCUUCACAAAUAUUUCACUAGUAAAUUUGUUUGUAACUUACAAGUAUACAGAACCCGAUUUAGAGCAACCUCAAGACACACCUUGAUUUGCUACACUAGCCUCACCUGUUCUUGAAUCGAUACGUGAUUCAAGAACCUCUCACCCAAACCCCUUAGCACACUAGCUCACAAAAACUCUCACAGAUUUUCGCUCACCCAUUGCUAAGAAUUCUCUCUUUUGUGUUAAAAACCCUAAAAGGUUUUUCACACGACUAUUUAUACACAAUAGGACUUGCGGCUACUCCUCGCCUAGACUCUCUUUACGAUUUCUCCAAAUCUUCAUGAAAAUCUUCACCUUCUUUAUCUUCUCCUAAGAUAGAGGAAACUUGAUAUUUUUUUCAAAGAUCCUCCAAGAUACUCCAAGCUUCUUAUCCACGUCAGCUUCUCGUCUCUUGAAGUGUCCAGCACGUCCUGCAGCUCCAGCUCAGCUUCCAGCUCACCUCCACAUGUGUAGAUUGCUUCGCAAGUCUUCCCGUGUCAGUUCCAGAGCUAGUCGGACUGCUACACGUGCUGCUCCAGCCUUGUUUGCAUCUUCAAUCUCCCCCUUUUUAGCAUAUGUGCUUCACAAGUACCUGUCCAGGAAAUCAAGACCACAAACACCGACCAAAGAACUACAAGCCACACACAAUUCUGAGGUAAUUCCGAUUAAACAAAAGAACUCCAAGAAACCAAUGGAGUGUCAAGUCUUAACAUCAACGAGUUCAAGGAGAUAAAAGAUAAAACACAAUGUCUCAAAAAAAACUCUCUCCUUACUCCCCCAGAAUUCUAAAACCCCCAAAAUAAAUAAACCAAAAACUCCCCCAUAGUUCAUGCAUCCACCGAUUUCAAUCUUCUCCCCCUGCUUGUGAGCACAGAUGUUAAAAAUAAUUGAUGAGCAAACAUAAUUUGAAAGUUCAGAUAGGGUCUAAGUGAGUUUACCUGUGACUGCAGCGCGUAGCAUGGCCGUUACUAACCCGAGUUGCUCAAGAACUAAUGCCACAUCUUCAAGAGCUGUCCUGAUUCCCUCGGCAUCGGCUGCCGCCUCUGGCACUCGAAUCACUCCUAGACUCACGCUGUUGACUCCUCCAGUUGGUAUGUCCGGUUGUGCAGUUGUUCUAGAACGCAGAUUCGACCUUGGUUGAUGUGACGUUGAUGCUGAUGCAGACUUCUUCUGCGUCUCUUUCUUCUCCUUUUCCUUUGCCCUCACUUCUGUAGCAGCAGCUGCUUCUUUCUUGAGAAACGUCUCUCCGCUUCGUGGAUCUUUCUUGUACUUUGUUGGAAAGAUCCACAUCUCUCCUUCUUCAAGCUGUAGGAUCAACUGUCUCUUAAUAACCUUGCUGAUGAGACAGGGAAACAUCAACCAACUCCGAUCUCCUCUGAUCACUUUGCUCAGAUCGAGCAUCUGCUGAAAGAUCAUCCGUCCUAUGUCUACUUUGACUCCAUGAGCCAGUUUGUAGACCAGUCUUGCUCGCUCUUCGGAGAUGUGGUGUUUAUUUGUUGAUGGUACCCAGUUGUACGAAGCAAUAACCAUCAGCGCAGCUAUCCUGGGUGGAAAGUCCCUUGACGUCAACUCGGACCAAACAGACUGAUGUCCCUGGGACAGAUACUUCGAUAUCUCGGAGAUUGGCACAAGAUCUGCCUCUGCUUCUUCCUUCCUCUCUGCUUCAGACAACGGCUCACGACGAAGAGUCUCAUUGAUGAUUCCUGGCGAGAUCCGGACCUUUGCUCCCCAGAUCCUUACCACAAACACCUGUGAUGGGUCACUUGGUGUCUCAGGUGGUAGUCCGGCGUAGAACUCUCGUACCACCUUACUCAUGUAAGGUUCGAGCUCCGUCACUGACCACCGCAUUCCACUUUGAAGAAGUACCUCAUGAUACUUCCACUCGUCAGCCUCAUCCACAUCAACAAUCCUUUCGCACCAGAUGUGCCGAUCUUUAAAGAGUUGGAUUCGUUCGUCAGUCACCGCCCUCUUCUUCUUCCGAAGAUUUGUCUUCUUUUUCUUCCUUUUCUCAGGUUUGGAAGAUUCAGCUUUCUUGUUCGAGGACUGCGAUGGCUCUGCUGGUCCACUCGGAGGAGUAGUUUCUGAGUCAUCGAGAUCUUGUCGGGGUCGCUUAGCUGGAGAGACCAGGGCUACUUGCAGACUUUGUUUUCUUAUCUGUUCGUCGAUCUGGUCUUGAACAGACAUCUCUUCCGGAAUUAGAUCACACGCUGGAUCGACUGACUGAGUUUCUUCCUCCUGAGUUGCUUCAGGAACCUUCGAAUUAGCCUCUGUAGACUUUUCCGGAAGACUCUCCAGCGUUGAGUUCCUCAGAUCCUUCUCCUGAGCCUCGACUAGGUUCGGCGAAUCAGUCGGAUUCUGAACCUCCUUCGAUGUUUCAGGUUCUGAUUCUCGGCUGGGUUUAACCGAUGAUUCACCUCCUUCCUCGGCUGUAGCGAAGGAAUCACCAUCGCUACAGGGAUCUUUGGGCCGAAUUUCUUGUUCUCCAACAAGUGGAACUGUUGGAGUUCCUUCAUCGCUGAUUCCAUCUUCGAUGAUGUGAGGCUGUGAGGCAUCGGUGGCUGCAUGUGUCAUCUUGGACUUUGAUUUCUUUCCAAUGACUCCUCUGCGUGUUCCUGUCACCAUUUAAAGCGCAGAUCUAGAAGGCGAUGCUUCGAAUUGAGUCACACAUAUUCUUUGCACCUAGGGUUUUGGGACAAUUCAGUGUUGCGUCUCUUCCUCUUCCUCUCCCACAAAUAUAGCAACUUCAAUUUCCCUCUCCUCUGUUUUGAUUUUCCUUUUUUUUUUUCAUGGGCUGUUGUUGGGCCUGCCUGCAUAAGCAUCAUUUGUCCAAGGCCCACUUUCUGUUUAACCAUGACAAGUCUUUUUCUAGCACAAGGAAAUCCAUUAGUACACCACAAGGAAUACGACAGUCAUUGACACAUUUAAUCCGAAGAGUUUUGUGAUGACUAACAUGAAUAGUAACCGUUCAUAUCAUCACACCUCAACUAGCUUUUGAAAACAGUUUUUUUUUUUGAGAUUAGCUUAUUUACCCAGAUUCACAGAUGACACAUAGGCUGACUCAGCACAUGACUCGAAUGAUCACUCCCCUUCUUCUUGAUUCUUUAUGCCUUGCCAGGUUUGAUACUGAGACUAGCUUUCACAUUAUCUUGUCUUUAUCACGCUCUUCAUCAGUUUUCAACCUUUAUUCAGCAAGAGAGAACCCUGGUCCACCGUCACAGUGUAUUUUUUUUUUCUUUUUGGCUGAAAUACACCGCGACUUGGCAGCUUCCUUUCUUUUUCUGCCUUGGGUUUUUCUUAGGCUUCGGACAGGUCUCCUUUUUUUUUGUUUUUGAUGUAGAGCUUGUCUCAGCAGCACAGAUUGAUCUGUAGCUCAGUCUUAUCACUGUGGAUUCUCAAAGACCGACUUACAUUGCUUCCAGGUUGUUUAGUUCUCUCUGUGAAACUUGUACUGAUGUCGAGACAUGACGACAAGAUAGGUAGUUCUUUUCCUCUGACCUUUUACCCUCACGGCUGAAUCGAAACGUUUUGUUCAUCCUGAGUUUGUACCUGUGUCAGUUCUGCACAUCUCAAAGCACUUGUUAGAUUCCACAAACACCAAUCGCAUUUCUUAAAGUGACAAAAUGAUUAAAUUCCAAUGGUUUUGUGAAUAAAUCAGCCAGUUGAGAUUUAGUGACAACAUGCUCGAUCACUACCUGUUUUUCCUCCACUAACUCACGAAUAAAGUGGUGUCUUAUGUCGAUGUGUUUUGUCCUUGAGUGUUGUACUGGGUUCUUGGAAAUACUUAUAGCACUCUUGUUGUCACAGUACACAAGAAGUGGACCUGAAUCCAUUCCAUAGUCAGCGGACAUCUGCUUCAUCCACAGUAGUUGGCUACAACAGCUUCCCAUGGCAAUGUAUUCUGCUUCAGCAGUGGAGAGGGACACUGAAUUCUGCUUCUUGCUGAGCCACGAGAUGAGGUUGUUCCCGAGAAAGAAACACCCACCACUGGUGCUUUUCCUGUCAUCAACACUUUCUGCCUAAUCUACAUCACAGUAUCCCACUAGGUUCUGAUUCGAUCCUUUCGAGUACCAGAUACCUAAAUCAACUGUGCCCUUGACGUACUUGAUGAUCCUCUUUACAGCCUCAAGAUGAGAAUACUUAGGUUUAGCUUGGUACCUAGCGCAGAUGCCAACACUCAGGCACAGAUCCGGUCUGCUCGUUGUGAGAUAGAGGAGACUCCCAAUCAUUCCUCUAUACAAAGUUGGAUCAACACUUGUUCCUUCAUCAUCUCGCGUGAGACUGGUGGUUGUGCUCAUUGGGGUCUUUGCUUCUUUGGCUGAAUCAAGCUUGAAUCUUUUCAAGAGAUUUCUAGCAUAGGUGCUUUGUGAUAUGAAGACACCUUCCUCAGAUUGAGUGAUCUGAAGUCCCAAAAAAUACUUGAGCUCUCCCAUCAUACUCCUCUCAAACUCAGUCGUCAUGCUUGCAACAAAAGCAUCAACUAGCUUUUGAGAGGUCCCUCCGAAGAUUAUGUCGUCCACAUAAAUCUGAACAACCANNNNNNNNNNNNNNNNNNNNNNNNNNNNNNNNNNNNNNNNNNNNNNNNNNNNNNNNNNNNNNNNNNNNNNNNNNNNNNNNNNNNNNNNNNNNNNNNNNNNUGCAACCUUGCCCUUUCCAUCGCGAAUAUGGGCCCACUCCUUCUACUUGGGAGUAUCCCUGAGCCACUAGACGAGCUUUGUUUCGAACCACUGCUCCAUUCUCAUCAAUUUUGUUCUUGAAAAUCCACUUGGUUCUCACAAUGUUGCAGUCCAUCGGUCGUGGCACUAGUUCCCACACGUCAUUUCGAACAAACUGCUCGAGUUCUUGUUCCAUGGCAAUGAUCCAAAACUCAUCCUGCAACGCUUUUCUGUGAUCUUUUGGUUCAAUCACUGACAUAAAGCAGGAGUAUAGCACCAUCUCAGAGAACUUCCCAACCAUUUUCUUGAAAUCCAGUUGAAUGCCACGAGUCUUCCUCCCUUCAUUCACCUCACCGAUGAUAUCUGAGGCUGAAUGAUUCCGAUGAACUUGCUUGGUGUUCUCCUGAGUCACGAUUUGAGGCUCUUCGGUUGACACAGAAGGCUGUUGCAUCGCCUCUGCUGUCUGUGUUACCCGAUCCACUUCAUCACCUUCAGAAUCACUCCCGAUCAGAGGCUUCUCCCAUUCCAUCUGAGCGUAGUCAUCGAACACCACAUUGACUGACUCAACCAGAACCUUCGUCCUCAUGUUAAACACACGAAAGGUUGAGCUAUGACCUGAGUAGCCCAGGAAAAUUCCUUCAUCACUCCUUGAAUCAAACUUUCCAAGAUGAUCCUUAUCAUUCAAGAUGUAGCACCUGCAUCCAAAGACAUGAAAGUAACUUACGUUAGGCGUCUUUCCUUUCCAUAAUUCAUAAGGAGUUUUUGAUGUUCCCUUUCGCAUGUACACCCGAUUGAUUAUGUAACAUGCUGUGCUGACUGCUUCUGCCCAAAAACGUUUGGGAACUUGAUUUCCAUAGAUCAUCGCACGAGCCAUCUCCUGAAGUGUUCGAUUCUUCCGUUCCACUACGCCGUUUUGCUGUGGAGUUCUGGGUGCAGCAAACUGAUGAGCUAUUCCAUGACUUUCACAGAACAACUUCAUGAACUCGUUCUGAAACUCUCCUCUAUGAUCACUCCUGACUCGUUUGAUUGAACCUCGUUCAUUCAUGAGUUGUAGAGCCCAGAUUCUGAAGCUGUCCGCCGUGUCAGACUUUUCUCGGAGAAACCUAACCCAUGUGAAUCUGGUGAAGUCGUCAACCAGCACAAACACAUACUUUUUACCUCCCAAACUCUCUGUCUGAACUGGCCCCAUCAGAUCCAUGUGAACUAGAUCAAGUGGUGCUUUGGAUUGUACAUAAGGUACUCGUUUGUGUUGAACUUUGACCUGUUUGCCUUGGUUACACGCUCCACACACAACUUAUCUCCUCCUUUAANNNNNNNNNNNNNNNNNNNNNNNNNNNNNNNNNNNNNNNNNNNNNNNNNNNNNNNNNNNNNNNNNNNNNNNNNNNNNNNNNNNNNNNNNNNNNNNNNNNNCACUGCUCUGCAUCCUUUGUUGGUGAAUAUCACAAUUAGCCCUUCAUCACACAGUUGACUUAUGCUGAUAAGAUUCGCCUUAAGUCCCUGUACUAAGCAUACAUUGACUAGAUCAGGCUGAUCUUCGUCUUUUAUAAUACCUUUUCCUUGUAUGGCACCGACACUUCCAUCACCAAACAUAACUCUUCCUCCCUUAAUUUUCUUAACAUUUCGGAGGUAGCUUCGGUUUCCAGUCAUGUGUCUUGAGCAGCCACUAUAGAAGUACCAAGGCUCUGACUCGUCUUCAUCGCUUUCAACUUGUGCCAUGUUGCACUUGAAUCCAUGCCACAGCAUUGACAUUGGAUCAACUCUGGAAGAUCUCUUAACAGUGAAUUCUCUCGGCUUGAUGGGAUUCUUCUUCAGUUGUCCCUUAGGUUCAAAUCGCAAAUCCUCUUUCCUGACCCAGACUUGAUUCGUGGAUCCAUUCCAACUAAACUUAUGUUGCUUCAUCAGUUUCUGAACCCUGUUCCAUCUGCUGUAGCAGUAUGCCUUGAUAUGUCCGAUCUUGCCACAGUAAUAGCACUCUUGUCCUUUUCGCGGUUUGGUGGCAGAUCUUCGUCCUUCAGGCUGGUUGUAUCCGGAUGAGAUAAACUUGAUUUCAUCUGAGCUCCUCUGUUCCCAUCCACUGUACCUCAGCCCAUGCUUUGUAUUGGUUUGACAUCCGUAGCUCAGGAUGUUGUCUAGUUGCUUGGUCCCUGCGAACAUCUGAAUCUGCUUCUUUAGCUGAUCUAGUUCUGACUCCAGCUUCUCCGAUAUUUGCUUUUCAACCUUUAGAUGCUGCCUCAGACUUUCAGCUUUGUUGGCUAAUUCCAGCUUCUCCUUGAUCAAGUCAACACUUCCCUUGCCAAGUGCAUUUGCUGCUUUGAGAUCUUUGCUGAGCUUGUCUACUAAUACGGACAGUCUCUGGUUUUCUUUCUUCAAUUCACUGUUUUCUUUGUUGAGGCUAACCAGGACAUGACGUACUUCCUUGUAGCUGCUUAUGAGAUCAUCCUCCUUCUCUUCUUCAGGCUCUGACUCUGACUCCUGUCCCUCCUCAAUUUCAGCGAUCCCGAUAAACGUCACAAAGUUGUUUGUAUCUUCAACUGAGUCAUCCUCUGAGUCAUCAUCCGAUUCUUCCUCAGCCAACAUGGACUUGUCCUUCCUGCGAUUUUGAUCAUUGACACAUUCCAGCUGAGUGUGUCCAAAUCCUUUGCAGCCAUAGCACUGAAUCUCCUGUCGCUUGAUAGUAGGACAAUCAUUCUUGAAAUGUCCAUAUCCCCUGCACUCAUGACAUUGCACCUCACUCUUCCUGUUAGACUUGUCCCCCUCAGUUGUCUUCUUGAAAGAGGCAACCUUCUUCUGAGGUUUCCCAGUUUUCCGCAAAGCACGAUCAAAUCUUCGAACCAGAACACUUAUGGGAUCGUCUUCCUCAUCUUCAGUGGUGCGGUUUUCACAUUUUAGAGCUAGACUUUUAGGUUUCUUCAGACUGUCUAGCUCCAUCUCAUGAGCUUUCAGCAUGCCUACAAGUUCACUAAAUGGCAUGUUCUCUGUGUUGCUGGACACACUGAGUGCAGAUUUAUACCCCAUAAACCUCGAUGGCAGACACCUCAAGAAUUUCUUCACCAGCUUCUUAUCUUUGUAUUUUUUGCCUAACACAGCUGCUUCUUGUGCCAGAGCACUUAGUUUUGAACUGAAUUCAGAGAUGGUUUCAUCCUCCUCCAUUUUUAGAUUCUCAAAGCGAGAAGCAAGCAUGUCCUUUCUGGAGUUUUGAACCUUUGUUGUACCUUCGUACUGCAUCUGAAGUAUGUCCCAUGCUUCUUUGGCAGUCUCAACACCUUGAAUCAGCUCAAAUGUCUUUCUUGAUAUGUUGGUGUGAAUGGUAGCCAGCGCCCUUGAAUUGUACUUUGCUCUUUUUGACUCCUCUUCAGUCCAACUUUCUUCUGGUUUCUGAUGAAAGACUCCGUUGGCAUCAGCUACCAGUGGUUCUUCCCAUUUAUCAGUUACUGCCUUCCAUGCUAGUGGAUCGAUCCCUUUGAUCAUGGAUCUGAUCCUAGCUUUCCAAAAACCGUAGUUCCCAUCAUCCAGGAUGAUCCUGGAGUUGUUCACCAUUUCCUUAUAGCUCUCCAUUUUCUCCGCAGGAUCUCACCUGUUUGUAAUACACACAGAUGACCGCUCUGAUACCAAAUGAAAAUGUAAGAGUAGUAAUACAAGAACUAACACAGAACACAACACAGGGAUUUUCUCUUCAAGAAUAUUUCACUAGUAAAUCUGUUUGUAACUUACAAGUAUACAGAACCCGAUUUAGAGCAACCUCAAGACACACUUUGAUUUACUACACUAGCCUCACCUGUUCUUGAAUCGAUACGUGAUUCAAGAACCUCUCACCCAAACCCCUUAGCACACUAGCUCACAAAAACUCUCACAGAUUUUCGCUCACCCUUUGCUAAGAAUUCUCUCAGUUAUGUUAAAAACCCUACAAGGUUUUUCACACGCCUAUUUAUACACAAUAGGACUUGCGGCUACUCCUCGCCUAGACUCUCUUUACGAUUUCUCCAAAUCUUCAUGAGAAUCUUCACCUUCCUUAUGUUCUCCUAAGAUAGAGGAAACUUGAUAUUUUCUUCAAAGAUCCUCCAAGAUACUCCAAGCUUCUUAUCCACGUCAGCUUCUCGUCUCUUGAAGUGUCCAGCACGUCCUGCAGCUCCAGCUCAGCUUCUAGCUCACCUCCACGUGUGUAGAUUGCUUCGCAAGUCUUCCCGUGUCAGUUCCAGAGCUAGUCGGACUGCUACACGUGCUGCUCCAGCCUUGUUUGCAUCUUCAGGCUUCACUACAAAGAUACCAUCACCCUCAAGCAACAUACAGUCUUAUUUUUCUAACGUUUUGCUUCCAGAUUUUCAGCUAUCGAAUUUCCUUAACUUCUUUGAUGUAUUGCUGUGAAAGACGAUGAAACAGUUCUUGUAGUUGACCUUUUUCUGAAAUCCAGGAAAAAAUGUGAAUUUAGAAAAAAUGUGGAGACUUGAAGUGAAUCACUUGCAUAUUAGGAACAUAUAAUCAUUUUAGUUACUUGCUGCUUAUUGUUGAAUAUUAAAGGUUGGUAUUAAUUACAUGAAAUUAGGAAAGUCAAGAGAGCAUCUACUAGAACUUGCUCUCGAAGAUUUUUUAUGUAUAUAAAUUAGCUUUUAAAGGCUCAUGAAUAUGAUCCGAAAACAUUGGCCAAUUUCUAUUUCUUUAUGGUAUUAGAGCCUAAACCGGGAAUCAUGAGUGAACAACGAUAACAUUGAGGUUACUAUCUAUAAUAUCUGCCAAUAUAUGUAUAACUUGAGACAUUUUCAGCAAAGGCUUGCCAAAUGGUCACCAAGAAAACACAGUCAAAUAACAAGUGUGCAUGGGAUUAUGUUCUCGUUGAACAAAGAGAAGAGAAGAGCUAGAGGAACAUUCAUACCCCAUCUUAGAAGUCUGUCUCUUAUUGAACGGUGACCAAGAAUUGCCAGAGGAUAAACAAAGCACGAGGGAUCGACUCCUUAAACCAAACAACAUGUGCCCAUGAGACCGGAGGAGUGACAAUACUUAGUUGUUCCCAUGUGCCCUUAAAAGAGAAGUUUCUUGAUUAAUUAACCAUGCAAACUUUCUCAAUUGCUUGACGUCUUCACUCUUCACCAAGACAUGUGGACGAUGUAAAUUCGAAGGAACUAUAGUUAAGUUGGACAUUUUAUUCUCCUACACUCUAAAGUGAAUGAGGUAUUAAAAUAGAUCCUAAAACUUGUUUUCCAAGACUUUGUGUGUGUAUAUAUAAGUUGGCCUUUGAAAGGUCAUGAAUAUCAUCAGAAAAAUCUACUACUUGAGAUUUGUUCAAUAAAGAAAACAAAAGGAUCAAUCAAUCAUAAUCCAUUGAUCAAAUGGAUGCUCAAACAAUUUUUCUCUAUCUUUUACUUUUCUUCCUCUCUCUAAACUUCGUGUAUGCAACUCUAAAACGACGGUUGACUCCGGCGAAUACACGGCGGCUAAUCCGUCUCCUUCCGAUCAAAUCCCCGAUCGUCACCGCCGUUUUCGCCAGAAAAGACGUCCACGAGUUUCUUGAUUCUUUGAUCCAAGUAGAUAACAAAGAAGACGGUUUCGAUUUCAAGCCGUACAUGAUCAGCAAAGCAGAGUUAAUAAACAGAGCACUAGACGAAGCCAUUCCACUCAUCGAGCCUCUCAACAUCCACGAGGCAAUGCGUUACGCGAUUCUCGCCGGCGGGAAACGCGUCAGGCCAAUACUCUGCCUCGCCGCCUGCGAGCUAGUUGGAGGAGAAGAGCGUUUAGCGAUUCCCGCGGCUUGUGCGGUUGAGAUGAUUCACACAAUGUCACUCAUCAAAGACGAUCUUCCUUGUAUGGACAACGACGAUCUCCGGCGAGGAAAACCCACCACACACAAAGUCUUCGGAGAAAGCGUCGCCAUUCUCUCCGGCGGUGCACUCUUGGCUCUGGCUUUCGAGGGUUUGACGGAAUCUAACGUCUCACCGGAGAAAAUGGUUCGAGCCGUUAAAGAGCUUGCGAAAUCCAUCGGAACAAAAGGACUCGCGGCGGGACAAGCCAUGGAUUUGAGCAGUGAAGGGUCGGAUCAAAACGACGUCGGAUUAAAGGAACUCAAGUUUAUUCACGUUCAUAAGACCGGUUCGUUGCUUGAAGCAUCGGCGGUUAUCGGAGCGGUUAUUGGUGGUGGAUCGGAGGAAGAGAUUGAGAAAGUGAGAAGCUUUGCGAGGUGUAUUGGAUUGUUGUUUCAGGUGGUUGAUGAUAUUUUGGACGUGACGAGAUCGUCGGAGGAAUUGGGGAAAACCGCCGGGAAAGAUAAGGUCGCCGGAAAGCUGACGUAUCCUAAGGUCUUGGGGAUUGAGAAGUCGAAAGAGUUUGUUCAGAGAUUGAAGAGAGAUGCAAGAGAACAUCUUAAAGGGUUUGAUUCGGACAAAGUGAAACCUUUGAUAGCUCUUGCUGACUUCAUUGCCAACAGAAAUAACUGAAAUUGUUGUUUUGUCAUUGCAACGGAUUAUCAGAUAAUUUAGUGAAGAUGGUGUUUUUAAUAAACGUGCAAAACAUCUUUUGUUAAUCCACUACACACCACGAUUUGUCUUGAUGAAUUCUAUAAAAAUUAAAUUUAAUUAAAUUAUGUAUAAAAUAACCAUUGCCGGGAUUUAUGUUUAUGUUAAAUUAGUAUGUUAACAUGAUAAUUGCAGUUUUUUUCGACAAAAAAAAACAUAAAAAUUGCAGUAGUUUAAUUAUUUUUUGUAAGUAGAAUGAGUAAAAUUUUCUGAAAUUAAUUUAGCUGAAUGGUCUUUUGAUUAAUCACUCAACUGUUGAAUAAGACCAACCAUCACAUCGACCCAACGAGUCAAUUGACUUUUAAAACCCUUUGAUACUUAUAGUGAAGUUUUGAUUAAGAAGUAACAAUGUUUCAUAUCCGAAUUUCAGUUAAAGAAAUAUACUUCAACAACUUAUAACUCUUCACGACUUAAUUUUAGUAAUUAAUAUUUGAUUGAUUGAGUCUUUCUUCAAGGAUCCAGCUUAGGAAUCCUUUAACCGAGGCUAAAGACAGAGAGUCAGAGACAUUCAUUCAUUUAUGGGAUAAACAUACAUCUAAAAAUACAAGAUUCAUUAACUAAUACUCCAUAUAGUUAUACUCCAUAAAAGCCAGAAUCAAAUAUUCCAAAAGUAUUUUUAAUUAAUGUAUUGAGCAAAGGUUACCUCAGGGCAACUAAAUAACAUUAUCCUUAGCUGUUCAUAAUACUUGUGCUAAAGAAAACAAACCAACAAUUUUCUUCAAAGCCAAACACGGAACAGAAUCCGCCUUCUCACGUCAACAUUUCCGUCCUGAUCAUCAAUCAAAAUCACACAAAAAUCUCAGUCCAAACUAACUUAUAAAAUCAUAAGUAGGAGAUGUUCACAAUUUUGUUCAAAAACAAGUUUAGUUUUUACCAGGUAGCUUCUUCGCUCGUUGAACCAGUCGGGUAUCGAAUGAUCCUCUGCAGAAUCACGGUUCUUGCCUUUGUCACAUCGCUACAAUACUUAUUCGCAUGUUUCCCGAGUUCUUCAAUGGUUUCAGUAAACACAUCAAGCUUCUUCUUUAUCUCAUCUAUCGCAAGCCUCACAACGUUCUCCUCUGUCACAGCAAACUCAGCAUUCUUCAACAAAGAUUCAAUCUCUACUUCCACUUUCCGCACAAGAACACUUAUAUUAUCCAUCUCCUUAACUGAUAUAUAAGUCCCGAUCCUGAUCGUUGUAAUAAUCUCCUUCUGUCCUCUAACCACUUUCUCGUAUUUGGUCCAAAGAGAGUUGCACCAUUUACCAACAGAUCCCACCGGAACAGCCAAUGCACCAGCUAUAGCCGCCACAACAGGCGGUGCAGCCACGGCGGCUGCAACCACCGAGAAGAUAAGCACAGAGAUAAACGCAGUCACAAACACCAUGUUGGACACUCUUCGCCAUGUUUUGAUGUUCUUGAGUUUCUUAUCAAGCUUUCUCUUUAGCUUAUGAAGCUCAUCAAGCAUCAAGACCUGAUGUUUGUGUACCAAAUCGAAAAGAGCAAAGAACUCUUUAGUAAACGGAUCACCUGCUGAUUUAAACCUCUUAAGCUCCUCAAGCGUCUUCUCAUACUUUCUGUUCUCGUUAUUCCCAUUUAACGGUAUCUCAGACUCUUCUUCAAACUGCUUAACAGCAAACUGAAUAAUCACUUGGCUUCUCCUCGCGCGGUUUAGGCAAUUCUCGAGCUCAGAGCAGAAAUCCAUUGUCUUUGAAGUGCUUGCGAAAUACAUAUUCACAAGAGAGAACAAAUCUUGAUUGUUCCAUAUAUCCUCUUUGUCCUGCAGUAUAACUUUGACCACGUCUUGAUUCAUAUCUAAAAGGCAUUGUGUCACUUCUCUAAGGGAAUCAAACGACAAGGAUUUGAUCUCCACGCCUGAUGCGAGCUUGUUGAUGACUCGGUUAGUUCGUUCGUGAAGCGCAGAGUCAAAAGACUCGAGCUUUGGGUCUUCACUACAAGCUCUCUCGUAAGAGCUCAAGUCCUCAGUGUAAGCUGAGUUUAUCUUGAUCUGUACAGGUGUUGUAGGUGAACCAAAUUCAUCACUUUUUCUGUUCUUGCUAGAUUUUCCUCCCAUCAUUUCUCUUUCUAUCUAUGAAAAUGUUGAAAUUUUUGGACCUGAUCAGAGAAUAAGAGCUACGAAUUAGAAAAUCAAACCGAUAUUGAGCUUGUAGAGCAAGAGAGAUAUCUUCAAUUACCAAAAGCAGAAGCUAGAGAAGUAAUGCAAUAUGAAAAAGAUCGAAAUGGGUAUUUGAUUUAUAGCUUAAAGCAACCAAAUUUCAACCGAAUCUUGCGGAGCAAUCUAAAAUCAGACGUAACUGGAACCGACAUCGAAGAGAGAGAGAGAUAAAAAGGCGAAAACUUUAACCCCAAGAGUACUAGAAAAUCGCAGGAAAUCUGUAAAAAAGUGAAACGAGAGUUCAAGAUCAUGAAGUAAAAGUAGUAAUUACCUGGGAAUUUGCAGAUGAAUUUUGGUAAUGAGAAUGCGAAUGAAAGCAGAGAUUCUCUGGUAAAAAAAAGGGUGGAAUUUUGUAUAAAGGUAAAGCGUGAUUAUUGAGGGUUUUUAAUUCUUUUGAGAUUCUGGGAGAGAAGUAGCUUGUACGCUUUGGGGGAAAUCGGAAGGGAAAGAGAAAGAGAAAAUGCGGGAAAAUUUCAAGAGAAAGGGAGAGAUCUGAGAAGGAAGACCAUUUCACGCGGUUUUCCACAGUGUGAGAAAGUCUUUCUUACAGUACUCUCGACUUGGCCUUGACGGACUCAUCAAUGGCUAGUGAAACAUGAAAGAACGAAGAAAGAAGAAAGAAAAAAUAAAGAAAGAAUUCAAGAAGAAACUGAAGAAAAUAAAAUAUUUUUUUUGCUUUUUCUUUUGUUGUCUGAACAAAGACAAAUUAAUCAGUCGUCGAGGCUUGAAAAUUGAAGCCCUGGGGCCAUUCAUUUUCCAUCUAGAAUAGAAUAACUUAAACAGUAAUAAGAUUAGUUUGACCAAAAAAAAAAAAAACAGUAAUAAGAUUAGUUUAUUUUUAACCAAAAUGUUAAAUUUGAAUAUAGUUUAACAACAAAUUUCAUUUUAGUUUAUAGGUUAGCGCUAAGGUUUUUGUUUUCUAAAAUAAUGACAAAAUAUUAUACCAAUUUCCAUGAAAGGUUUUGAAGUUUUUUUUUAAUUUCUACAAUAUCGUUUUGGAAUAAGUGCCUGCCUGUUUUCAGUUUUUUUUUCUGUGGAUCUAAUUACAUAAAUAAUUCAGAAAAAAAAAAAUCUCUAUCUUGUAUGGAAUUUUCAAAAUGUUAUAAAAUCAUGAAUUGACCAUUUCUUACUCCAUGAUUUUCUGUAGAAUCUCCAUGAUUUUAUAUUUCUACAAUAUAUUUUUGGAGUAUUGAUUAUAAAUUGUUGAAUCCUCAAUGAUUUUUAUAAAAUAUGUAUCAAGUAUUUCCUCCUCACGUUUUCCUCUCUAGUAUAAUAAACCAGAAAAUAAACUCUAAUCAACGUAACGUUCUAUAAUCUGCUUGAUUCUCUGAAUAUUAUUGAAUUCCAAGAACCAACCAUCCAAUACGACACACGACUCAGAAACCAUUAGUGGACACCAAAGAGACAAUAAUAUAUUAAUAUUAAAUAAAUUUAACACAACUCUAAUAUUAAAUAAAUUUAACACAACUCUAAAUGUCCAAUGUACUAAUCUCACAACAAACAUCAUCAAUCAUCACUAUCGUGCCUUCAAGAUCUAACCUAAUAAGACUUUAUCAAAUCUACUCUGUAAUCAGACCAUCCAAAAUUACAAAAUACGAGAGAGAGAUUUGUUUCACAAUAAGUAAAAAACUUCCAAUCUUUAUAACCAACAAAAGACUGUUAGAGAAACUAGAACAUGAAUCAUAAUGUUCUCUUUCUUUAGUUUCUAACUCUCUUGACGGAGAAUAUUACCCAAUAACUAAACAUUCGCAAUUGAGUUUAAUUCUGUCUUUUGGCAAUGUAAUUAGCCAAAGCCAAUAAAGGUGCAACCUUUUCCGGAUCAAAUCCUUGAAGCUGUUCUUGAGCAUCACUCAUCAACUUCUUUGCAAAUUCUUUCGAUUUCUCAAGACCCAUUAACUUCGGAUACGUCAGCUUAUCGGCGAUCAAAUCUUUUCCGGCGGUUUUUCCCAAUUCCUCCGACGAUUUCGUCACAUCCAAUAUAUCAUCAACCACCUGAAACAACAAUCCAAUGCAUCUCGCGAAUCUCCUCAGCUUCUCUAUCUCUUCGUCGGAUCCACCACCAACGAUGGCUCCCAGCACCGUCGCCGCCUCCAGCAAAACCGCCGUUUUAUGAAUGUGGAUAAACUCCAAAAGCUCUAAUCCGACGUCGUUUUGAUCCAUCCCUUCACUGCUUAGAUCCACGAUUUGACCCGCCACAAGCCCUUCUGAUCCAACGGCUCUCGCUAGCUCUCCGAUUGCUCUAACCACCCUCGCCGGAGAUACCCUCGACGUCGCUAAAUGCUCAAAGGCAAACGAUAAAAGCGCGUCUCCGGCUAAAACGGCGACGUCUUCGCCGAAGACUUUGUGGUUGGUGGGUUUUCCGCGGCGGAGAUCGUCGUUGUCCAUACAUGGGAGGUCGUCGUGGAUUAGCGACAUCGUGUGGAUCAUUUCGACCGCGCAAGCCGCCGGUAACGCGGCGGAUUCUUCGCCGCCGACUAGCUCGCACGCGGCGAUGCAGAGAACCGGUCUCACUCGUUUUCCGCCGGCAAGGAGCGAGUAACGCAUCGCCUCGUGGAUCUUGAUCGGUUCUCGGAGCGAGACGGCGGAGUCUAGAGCUUGAUUGACGGAAUCCGCUUUGCCGAUCAUGUAAGACAUGAAAUCGAAUUUGAGGCUGUCUUCUUCUCCUUCCUGGACGAUACUGUUGUUACUCUCUUCUCUGGUGACUGAUAAAGCGGUGAGUUUUUGUCGGAGAAGGAAAGGUUGGAUUUUGAUGACGGAUUUGUUGGACCCGGGUAUGGAUCCGGGUACGGUUCUGGGUGUUCUGCAAGAGUGAUGUACCCAUGAGCUUAGAUUCACGGUAGCCAUGGCGAAUUCUCGAAAUUUAUGGAAAAAAUUGAAUCUUUUUUUCUAAAUUGGGAUUGGAUUUAGAGUGAAUGAGUUGGGUAAUGGAGUGUCUGGACUAGAUACGAUGAUGAUGAUGAUGAUGAUGAAAUAAAUAUAAAAUUUUUCACUUUAUUUAAAUGACGAGUCCACUCAAAAAGUGUAAAUUCAUUUCCUUUUUGUUUUCUUUUACCUUUGACGAUUUUUUCCUUCUUCUUAGAUUUGGAUCAUUGGAUGUUGUGUUCUGUGUAGAUUUAGAAUGGUAAAAAACAACCAGAGUUAGUAGAGUGGCAAUUUUCUAUGUAACACAUCUCGUCAAUUUUUAGUAGACCACUAGAUUAGCUGGGAAAAAGUUUUCUUUUUCUGUCAAAAAUAUACAUUUUUAUCUUGUUCACAAUGGUGUUACUGUUUUGGCUCUACUUCAACAGUUCAACCUAACAUUAGCCAAAUAAUUACACCGCUUUAUCAACUGCAAUAUAAUUCUCAAUCCAUUUUGGAACCACUUAAUUUUUAUAAUUAUAUAUAUAAUUUUAAAUGAACUCUCUCCUUUCUGCUGCCACAUGAGCAUCUAGACGAAGGAAGCAUAUCUUUUCAUCCAAUUAAUAAAUCAUAAAUUUUAAAAUAAAAAAUAGAAACUAACUAAUACCACUACUUCUAACUUAACUUUUCUAUUUAAUAUUUAUUUCAUAUAUAUAAAUAUUCAUAACUAUUAAGUUACAUUAAAAUUAAAGGUUUCUAUAUUUCUAACAAAAAUAAAUAAACAAUCUUUCUAAUUUCUUAGUAUUCGUCUAAAAACUUUUAAUAUUUUUUACACUAAUAUUUUUUGUAUUCGUCUAUACUUUUUAUAAAAUUCAUGAACACCUUUUUUGAAACUUGUUGUAUGAAAAAAUGUAAAGAUGUAGCGUACUCUACAUUCAUGUGUCAAAUAUCAUAUUAUUAUAGUUACAUUUUAUUGUGAAACAUGAAAUAUGGUGUGGUUCUUGCAGAAUCAUGGCAAUUAUGCAUGUCAUAAAUAUGAGAACAUUAAAAAUCAAAAGUAAUUAUAUGUUUUCAAGCAAUUCAACCAAAAAAAUAUGGCUUUUAUCUAUGUCUUUUUUUACUCAUAUCAUGUCUAUGAUUUCUAGAAUAGUAGAAUAAUUUUCCUACUUACCCUACUUCUAAUUUUUUUAAAAAAAAGUUAUUUGUUUUACAAAUAUUUUAUUUUAAAAAAACUUAAUAUUAAACAAUCAAAUAAAUUACCAUAUUCUUAUAAUUAUAUAUAUAUAUAUACAAAUAUAUUUUUUAAAAUAUUAUGUGAACAAAACCUGUACGUAUGUACGGGUACAAGUCUAAUGGUGUUAUGAAACGCAAAGGAUACAUGCAAGCUCAUUUCUAUAUAAGCUACAUCUCUUAAUUUCUGAAACGCAAAAGGAAAAAAAAAAACGCAAAAAGUUGGGUCUAAACGGUGGACGUGUAGGCUCAUUUAUUUUCGUUUGGCCCAAUAGGCUGAUCGAAUCGAUACAUAACAGUUUCAAAAUUGAUCAAAAAGCAUCGGAAGGGUUUUGAUUUCUGAAUCAGCGAAGAGAGAAGCUACGAUCGCUGCUGUGUUCUCGUUGUUGAAGCUUACGAGAGAGACAAAGAUUCCUUCGUAAUUGUUUCCAACUUCGUUUCAAUUUCUCAACUGGUAAGCUCUCUAAUCUCUUCGUUUACUUUCGUGUUCUUGGGGGUUUGUGUUUCGUCCUUCCGAUUAAUCAUCUGGUUCUGUAGAAUCUCCGAUCAUCUGCUAAAUUAGGGUUCCUGCGAUUCUUGGUUUUCGGAAGAUUAAAGAAUUUUUAUAUGUGGUGAAAUUUCGAUAGGGGUUUUUGUUUCACAAGUGAUUAUUAUGAUUCGAAAUCUCUCGCUGUUCUUUGUUACGAUGAAUCUUCAAGUGAGAUUGCUAUCUCAAUGUGUGUAUAAUAUAAUAUGAUUUUGUCUCGUUGAUUUUGUGAUGCAGAAGAGCCAUGAUUGGGUUAUUCAAAGUUAAGGAAAAGCAAAGAGAAGAAGCUAAAAACACCAACAGUAGAGGAGCUUCUGUCAAGAAACAAUCUGCUGGCGAACUUCGUCUUCACAAAGGUUCUCACUUUCUUCUGCUUUUGACCUAAUUCAGUUUCUGAUGUUGAACAAAUUGUAAAAUUUCUGUAUAGAUUUUUGGGCUCUUCAAGUGAUAGAACUAAGUAUUGUUUCUCCAUAUAUAUCUUUUGUUGUGUAUAGAUAUAACAGAGCUGAAUCUGCCAGAGUCUUGUACAAUAUCUUUUCCGAAUGGGAAGAAUGACUUGAUGAACUUUGAAGUUACCAUUAAACCCGACGAAGGUUAUUACAAGUAAGCAUAUCAAAUCUUCAUCUGCCCUUUUGUCUCUCGGGUUUACUGAAUCUGCUUGAACACACACAAACUCAUUCGUUCUUCUUUUACCAAAAACAGAAAUGGUAAAUUUGUAUUCACAUUCCAAGUCUCUUCGGUGUAUCCACAUGAAGCUCCAAAAGUUAAAUGCAUUACCAAGGUUAGGCUCUCUCUUCAAUCUCUGAAGUGUGUCGAUCUUUCUAGAAAUAUGAUAUAUUUGUUAUCCUUUGUAGGUCUACCAUCCGAAUAUCGAUUUAGAAGGUAAUGUUUGUCUGAACAUCUUGCGUGAAGACUGGAAACCGGUUCUCAACAUAAACACAGUUAUCUACGGUCUUUUCCAUCUCUUCACGGUAACAAAUAUCCCUUUGCAGAUACUCUUUCUACUGAUUCAACUUUCUUGGGGACUAAGUGUUUUUGGCUUCAUACAGGAACCCAAUUACGAGGAUCCUCUGAACCACGACGCAGCAGCGGUUUUAAAGACUAACCCGAAGCAGUUUGAGACCAAUGUUAGGAGAGCUAUGGGCGGUGGUUAUGUUGGCAACACCUCAUUCCCUCGUUGCAUCUAGGCAGGAGUGUCUGGUUCGGUUUCAAAGCACUCAUCUUUCUUUUCUUCGUCUCAAGAAACUUUGUGUCGUUGGCUCUUUUGUACAUUUGUCUUUGACCAAGUGAUUUUAGGUAUCUUCUUUAACUGUUUUCAAUUUUUAUUUCGAACAAAAUGUAGUAAGCAUCAAAACACAAGCCAAUCCAAAAAAACAAUAGUAGUAACAAAGCUUUAAUGACUCUCAUUGCGCAUCUCUACUUCUUCUCUAGAAGUUGGAGUUUUAUUGGUUUUCCUAUCAUUCCGGAAAAUAAAAUGUAACGGUGUGUAACAAAGACCACACAAUUCCAAACGGGACGGCCAUCAUCAACAUGAUCCCCUUGGACAACGCCUUGGCCUCACGACCAGAGUCUUUAAUAUUAUCAAUUCCUUUUGUGCCAAACCCGAAAACUUUCUCCGACAUGAUCCCAACCAAAGGAGCACCGAACGACGAAAAAGACACUUCGAGUGCACGGUCAAAGGCGUAGACCAUGGUUCGAUGUGUAGGAGGAACAAUCUCAGCUAAGAUUGGAGAGUUAAUGGCUGGUCCACACCAAGUUAUGGUGAGACCCAUUAGGAAAAGAGUUAGCAAGUAGAUGUAGUAACUGUUAGUAGACUGUGGGAUUAUUUGUAGAAGAAUAAUGGAGAAUAUAGCUCCCAUGAAAACGCUGAAUUGUGCGCAAAUCAAUAUGCCUGAGUUUGGAAAGAGAUGUGACAUUUUGUCUGCAAUUAUUCCUCCGAUUAAAGAUCCUAUUGAUUGUCCCGUGGUGAAUAUUCCGUUCAGAAGCGCCGCCUGAUUAUGACUAAAACCUGAAAAUUAAAAUAAAAUAAAAAACAACUUUGAAAAUAGUUUUUUGGUUGUUUGAUUAGGAUAAUACCAUUUCUAUGUUUCAUAAUGGUCUAGAAACGGGAUGAACAUUUAGUUUUAGUGCAAAUCUAUUUUUAGUUCAGUUCAAUUUGUGGUUUAAUUUUUGAAAAAAUAAUUCAGAAGUAAAAUAAUUUUACCUCUUCAUCUUUCGACUUUAGUAGUAGUAUAAAGAUUUGGUUUUGCUAGACCUUAAAGAAUCUUAUAUAUAAAAGAUGACCAACUCUCUCCAUAUGAAUGACACAUCAUCAUUUUCAAUUGAUAUGGAGAUGACAUGUGUCACUUUUUAUAAUUUAAAGUUAUAUUUUUUCUAAAAAGUAAUAAAUUACUAAUUUUUAAUAUCAAGUUUUAAACCACUCAAAAAAAUGAACAGUUUUUUUCAUUAAUUGAUUGAUAUUGAUUGGUAUUUAUUUUAUUUUAUAUAAUUCUCAUUUUUUAAUGAUAUUGUAUUUAAAAUUGUUUUUUUGGAUAAAAUUUUUAAAAUUAUUAUAAUAACAUAUUAACACACAUAACAAAUAAUGAUUAUAUGAUAUUGUAUUUUAAAUUGAACUAAGAUUAUUUUCUUUUUUGGAUAAAAUUUCAUAACAAAUAAUAAUAAAAAUUGUUUUUAUAUUUAUAAUUAUAUUUGCUUUUGAAUUUAUGAUAUUGCAUUUUAAAUUAAUUUCUAAAAUUAUUUUUUUAUCUAAAAUUUUUAAAAUUUUUUAUAGUAAUAUAUUAACACACAACAAAUAAUGAUUAUAUUUGAUUUUAUAUAAGAUUUGAAUAGUUAAAAAGAAAAACUUGCACAUUAUGUGCGGGUAUUCACCUAGUUAUAACGAAUAAGGACUUAAUAAACCAUAUAAUUCAGGUAGAACGUAUGUUUUCUUUUUGUUGAUAAUGUAUGUUUUGGUUUUAGGUGCAAACUAUAAUUAAGAAUGGAUGCACAAGGAUGCAGCAGAACUGAAGUAGUUUAUCAAGUUGUUAAUUUCGGCUUUUAGAAUGAAAAAGGAUUAAUCAAGUUGUAAAAACGUUUAUUUUUUCUUUGAAUAUAAUUUAACAAUAUUUUAUUAAAAAAAAAAAGAAUGGAUGCCUACCAAUGAGUUCGAACCACAUUGUCCAGAAAACCAUUGCAUUCCAUGGCACCGAACCUAUAAUUCCCUGCAAUAUGAUGAUUUGAAAUGUUCGUAAUUUGGCUACAUCAUUUAUGGCCACCCACGAUUCCAUCCAAUUCGAGCUUCAACUCUCCAUUGUUGCAUUGUUUUCAUCUCUACAAAAGCCGCAUGACUAACUCAAAAACUUAGGACAAUUGAAAAUAAUAAGAAGCUAUAAUCAAGAAUGUAGAGAUUUAUAUCACCGUUCAUGGUCAAGAACAUUGGAGCUACUAGUUUUCUUCUUCUCUCUCGGGUCAGUGACAAAGAAAAAAACAAGAAACCCGAUCAUCGUACUUACCGUUGCACUCAGUAGAUAGGCGCAGCGCCAGCCCGAGACUCCGUCAAAAACAUGACCAGCCAUGACCGUAGGCACGACGGUUCCACCUAUACCUCCAACCGUACCAAUGAGAUUCCAUAAACCAAAACCAAAACCUCUUGCACUAUCCUUAAAGCUAUCCGCGAUUAUCGACUGAAGCACCGGAUAAACAAUUGCAUGUCCAAACCCAUUGGCUGCUGCGCCAAAGGUUACCUAGUCCAAGAUAAUAAUAUGAACCAAAAAUCAAAUUUAAAAUCUUUUCUUUUUAAAGAGGGGAAACAUAUGUUUUUGGUCCCACGACUCCUAAUAUUGGACCUGUAAGUAACCAAAACGGUCGUUUGGAAGUUCCACAAUAUACUCAAAAAUUAGUAUCACAGUCACGAAAAAUAGUUUAAUGAUCUUGACACAAAUUAUUCGUUUAUUAGAGGGUUUUUUUCCUUAAAAUGUUAAUUUUUUUUUCUAUUUUCAUUAUAUGUUCUCUAGUCAAUGAUUUAUUUUAGUUAAAAAUCUUUUUUUGUCGUAAGUCUUAACGGUAUUGAUCUUAAGUUUUAAAAUCUAGACAGGCCGGUGUCUAGAUUUUUUCAUUUAUAGUCAAGAAUAUUUUUUGGUGCAUGCUCCCAAUUUAAUAUAAACUUUGGUGCAAAAGCUUAGACUAUAAUAGGAAGAGAAGAAAGAAAAAAAGAAGCUUAAACCUGGAUGAAGUAGCGGCUGACUCCAGUUGCAAUAGUUGAUAUGACCCAAAAGAAGCUACCGACCGCAAAAACCGUGGGGCGGUCAUAGCUGAUGGCCAAUAAACCGGCUAAAGGCGAGGCAGCUCCUUGAACAAUAUUUCUUAUAAACGAGAGGAGUCCAAUACUAGAGAGGUUCGCAUCGAAUGCUUCUUUCAAUUCUUUGGCAGUUGAAGGAAUGAGUUUUUCGUCUGCUCGUUGCAUCAUUGUGGCCAAGUUAAUGAUAAUGAGCGAAAUAGAGAUUCCAUAAAUGGUCCCUGUUCUAUGGACAUAGUAGUACACAUUGUAAGAAAUCUACCAAGAAAUGUGGAAUGUAUAGUGACUAGAGUCUAAUAAUUUGUCAAAAAAACCAUCAAUAGAAAGGAAAAAAAUAGUAAUGUAUAAAUAGUGGGCUUAACACUAUGAAAUUGAGUAAAAAUAUACUCUUAAUGGAAGAAGAAAAAGAUGACGAGAUAAAAGGAUAUUAUGAAGAAAAAGUGAAAAAUGCUUACUUCAUUUUCAUGGUUUUGGUAUGAAGACGAUUGGGUUGGGGGCAUAGAAACGAAUACAAUUUUCACUCGAAUGGAGGUGAUUUUUAAGAGAAAAAUGUUUUCCAACUAACUGCUAUAAUAAAAACAAUAAGGGGGGUUAAUGAUAUUUAUAUUUGAAAUGUUAUGACAAUGAAUAAGAAUGGUCCACUUAACGAAGAAAACAUUGGAAACAAAACAAAUAGCGAUUCUGAUUUUUGUUUUGUUUUGUUUACUACUCCUACUUAAUACUUAGAUUCUGAAUAGCGAUCAAAAAUAGGCAAAAUACAAACAUUGUAGGAAGAAGAUCUAGUCAGAUUUAAUUUUUCAUUAAACGCUUUGUUUUUUUUCUCUGGAAAUUAAAAUCAUCUUUAAAGUUUUCUUUCUCUUAUAUAAUAAAAGAAAAAAUUAUGUGAAUGAAAAUAUUAUGUGUUCACAUAACCUUUUUAUUCUGUAGUCUACAUGAGUGUUAAUGGGGCUAGUCCGACUUAGCCCGUUCUAAAUUCUGUAAACCAUUAUCGCAAGCUUUUUUGGAGCUUAUAUUAAAUUGUUGGUUGGGUCGGGACAAAACUAUAAGAUUAGUCUGAGUAUUUCGGAUCCUUCUCAGUGAUAAAUAUGUUCUUUUUUUUUAACAAAAAAAAUCAAUUAAAAAAUAUAACUCACAACAUAUAAAACAUUAGAAAGAGAGUGACCAUGAAGAUGUAACAAUUCUCAUGUCAUUUCUAUUUCUCAUGAACCAAGAUUUCUAGCGAUUUAUCGAUCUUUCAGAAAAAGAAAAUGUAACGGUGUGUAACAAAGACAACACGUACAAUCCAAAAAGGAUAGCCAUCAUCGACAAGAUACCCUUCGACAACGCCUCGGCCGCACGACCAGACUCUUUAAUAAGAUCAGUUCCAUUUGAGUCAAACCCAAACAUUUCUCCGACAUCAUCCCAACCAAAGGAGCACCAAAUGAUGACAAAGACCCUUCAAGGGCACGAUCAAAGGCAUAGAUCAUGGUUCAUAAAAAAAAAUUGGUCAGAUUUUUUAAAAAUUUGAUCGUGCACUUGAAGGGUAAUAUAUUAGAAAUAUAUUAUUUUAAUUAAACCACAUUGCAUUCAUUCAACUCAUACAAACAACAAUAAUGACAUGUAACAUUUGUGGCAUUAUUUAACGUAUAUAUGACAUCUUUCUUUUGAACAAAAUAAAAUAAAAUAUUAAUAGAAUGUAAUCUUUAUUUUUUUUUUCGACGAAAUAACAUUAUUUAAUUUGGCAAAGAUGAAGAUACAUAGUCCUUAUGAAGGUAAGGUGUUAACCAAAUAGGAGGAUUUAUACAACCAGAAAAGAAAGAAGGUGUUAAUAGAAUGUAAUCUUUAUUAUACUCUUUAUUAGUAUACUAAAUAAUCUUUCUCUCCAUAAAAUAACUGAAAUAAUAGAGGUGAAAUUGAGAUUUAGAGUUAAAUUUUGCUUUGGAAAUACACUCAUAAUUACCAAUUUGUAACGAUCGAUUAAACCUUAAAAAAAUGACGUCAAUCUAACAUUGAAAAAUAUUGUACAUUGUACAUAUAUAGGUUGGACAUGGAUUAACUAUAUUAUUUGCCCAUCACGACAUAAGACGACAUUGUUUUGCCCAUUCGAAGAGAGAACUAUGAGACGACCCACCUUGAGCCCAAGCUUGUUCAGAGCUAACCCUCACUUCCUCAGCUUUAGCCCUUAUCUUCCGUCCUUCUUCAUCCUCUUCCGCCACAAUCUUUCUAACCAAAGACGCCACUUCUUCCCGGCCAAUCACUUUCUUCGCCGGUAACACCGACGUACGAACAGCCACACCGAUCUCCUCCGUUAGCAACGUGGCAUUCAUCCAUUGCUCAGCAUAAAGAGGCCAAGCCACGAUCGGAACUCCUUUAGUCAAACUCUCCAACACUGAGCUCCAACCACAGUGAGACAAGAACCCACCUAUCGAUCCAUGGCUCAAGAUCUCAACUUGCGGUGCCCAUUGCGUGACGACAAGACCCAUACCACGCGUGCGGUCCAAGAAACCUUCCGGUAGACUGGCACUCACCUGAUCAUCAUCGUCUCUCGAGCUCGCACCGAGGUAAGAAAUGGGCCUGCGUAGAACCCAUAAGAACCUCUGACCACUUAACUCUAAACCCCAAGCGAGCUCAAUCGUUUGCUCUAACGACAACGUUCCACCACUCCCUAAACACACGUACACCACUGACCUGUCACGUUGCUUGUCUAACCACUCGAAUAUACUAUUGGGCCUUUUGAUAGGCCCAUUAUUCCUAACAAUAGGCCCAAUAGCAUAAACCGGUAUUUUCAUUACCCGGCUCAAUUCUCCAUCCUCCCUGAGCGCAUCAAGAGUGUUUCCUUGCAACUCCUCCCAAGUAUUCACCAAAACUCCAUCGCUCAUAGGUACCUCCUCGCCAAUCCGUACACACUCCCGGUACUGCUGGUUCGACCGGUCUAACACUGUUUCCAUAAGAUCAUCCGGUCCGACCGAUCUACAACCCGGUAUUCUCAUAGGCUCUUUGAUAUCAACGUAUUCCCCUUCGAUAACCUUGUCCAAUACCGGCAAGUACACCAUCUCUGCCAAGAACCACGCGUGUGAAGGGACGUACACGUACUUAGCCGUCACGCCGACGUCAUCAGCAACGGGCAUCAACCCGGUACCUAAAAAGUCAACGAUCAUGACCGUCGGUUUUCGCUUCAUUGAUUUCACGGCUUCUCGAAACGUGGGCUUCAUGGCUUGCAUCUUCACUACGAUCUUAGUGAACACUGUCGCAUCUGAAUCCACGAGAUUGUCUACAUCAACCGAGGGUAAUUCCGUAACUUCACAGGUACCUCUAGCCACGGCUGCUUGUAUGGCCUCGGUUUCUGUUGGAGAGGAGGAACCGGAGGUGACGGCGAGAAUGGUGACGUGAACAUUGAGGACGGAGGAGAGACGGUUUCCGAGUUCGAGGAUAGGGAUGAGGUGGCCUAAGCCAGGGCUAGCGACUAGGAGCGCGUGAGGCUGGUCCAUGAUCUAUAUAUAAGGUUUUGUUAAGAAUGAUUAUGAAUCGAGAGAAUGUUAUCAUAAAAAGAUUUUUAUUUAUGUGACAUCUUCGAACACAUACCUGUUCUUGUAUAAGAAGAUGUUUCUUGCUUGUCAAUGGCAAUGCAUGAAAUAAGACUGGAUAUAAUUAUUAUUGCUUUUAUAAUGGAUGAGUAUUUACCAUAAUUAAGUUCAUAUUUAUUCAUGUGGCAAUUGCUAUGCGUGGAUUGUAGUCGAUCUGGGUCAUUGACAAGUAACAUACUGACAUGCAUGUUAAUUAUUACGCAUAAGACCAAACGUUAUGCUACCACUAACAAGCAUGCCUACUUUCUUACCUAACUGUUUUUUUUUUUUUUGUGAAAGGUACUGAAGCCUAACUUUGUCUACCAAAAGAAAAAAGGACAAUCUACGUGUCCCGAUGUUUUCCAAAAUUGUCCAAAGCAAGAAGAAGAAAUGACAAAAAAAAGUCAUUUUUUAGUGGGUUUUUAACAGAAAUUUAAUAUUAAACAAUUGAGGCUGCGUUUCUAGUUUGGCAGAAACUUCUCCUAUUUGGGAACUUUUGAAGACGUUUCUUCAAACACUGUUUCUUCAAACACGUGAAGAGAUAUUAUUGGUUAAACUAUUUGAGAAAACAUUUUUUUUUUCUAAAAGUUUCCCGAUAGUUUUCAUUUCUUCCACCUGCUCUCUUCUUCGACGAAAUCGAGGAGAACACGAUCUGUUUCCGGCAGCUUCUCCGACGGUCGGCAGUUCUCAGACGGUGGCUCAGUGGUCCGAAAUCGACGAUGUUUUCAGAUAAAUUUUAUGAACCCUAAUCUCUGGAUUUUCAUCUGAAAAUGGCGAUCCUCGUUAAACCAAAACAGAAAUAGUGAUUGGUUUCUCGUUUGCGGAUUACUGUUAAGUAGAGAAUCCAUCAUUCCGUUGUCGUUCUGAUUACACCAAAUCAAAAUCUCAUGAAUCAAAUGCGAAUUAGGGAUUAGAAAGCUUCUGAUUGAGGGAUGGUUUGAAUUGGAAGCUUCGACAUGUUAUUGGAUCAAGUUUUUUUGCGUUUUCCUCUGUUUUCUUAGACUCCCGUGUGUUUCCAGAAGAUUUGGAUAGAUAAUUCGACGAUCAUUGUACAUUGUUUGAGAUCCUUUUGCUUAAUUACAUGUCAAUCGUGUAGAAACUCAGGUUUAGCUACAUAAAAUGCAUUGCAGGAUAAUCAGAUUGAUUUGCUGGUUUUUUUUUAUAGAAUGGAAGGUGACUCGAGGUAUCGUCAUUUUCAGAUGGUGACAACGACAACAUUGAGCGCCGUAGUGCAGGAGAGGUAGAAUCUGAGCUCGUAAAAAGGAAAGCUAGCAGUGAAAUCUGAGCGUCGUAGUGCAUGGAGGUGCUUGUAACACCCAGCAAGAGAGAUAACUUAAAGGGAAAAUCAAGAACAGCAACAGUGAACGAGAAACAGGGGAUCAACGUAGCGAAUGGAGUGGGAGAUAAAGACUUGGGUCAUAUCGUGAAGACCAUUAUACGUUUAGAGCUAGGAGGUCACAUAGACAAGAGUUUUAGGGAAAGGUUCUUGACAUGGUAUAGCUUAAGAGCUAUUCACCGAGAAGUUAGAAUCGUGAAGCUCUUUGUGGACACAUUCAUGGAGGAUCUGUCUUCUUUGGGACAACAGCUUGUGGACACAGGAACAGAGUCUGGGUAAAAAUUGCAGUACAUAUUACUACAUGCGAAAUGCAGCUUGAACCCUCAUCCUUUUUGGCUCGUGUUUAAGACGGCAUGAGAAGGACCUGUAAGAGAGGAGAAAUUGAUGAGGCAAAUUGAUUAAUACGAAAACAAAACUGGAUGCAAAGAGUCACGAGAAGACGUUGAUGAUUCACCUUCAUUGCAGCGUAGACAUGGAGCAACAAAAUGCUGAGCCUGAGAAGUUGUUAAAUUCCAUUAUCUACAAAAGACGUUGAUGCUUUACCUUCAUUGCAGCUUUAAAAGCUAAUUCAGACAUACUAGUACAACCUACACAAAACAGCUUGAUGGUAAAAAUUUGGAUUAAAACAUAAAUUUUUUUUUUUUUUGAAACCCCAAAGGGUCUCUGCAUUAGACCUUAAAAAUUCUACCUCUUCUUAACUAAGUUUCUAAUCCAAUAAUAAUAUUUAAAAAAUCAAUAAGAGACUCAUAUGCGUCUUUGCAUUGCUCUUACUCGCGCCGUAUACUUCC
Molecule: long non-coding RNA, 60623 nt
Filed under: Eutrema salsugineum
Lineage: Eukaryota; Viridiplantae; Streptophyta; Magnoliopsida; Brassicales; Brassicaceae
Description: long non-coding RNA (ESAL_LNC001784)
Source: RNAcentral